This 45994-nucleotide long non-coding RNA is filed under the name Lathyrus oleraceus (garden pea). RNAcentral describes it as "Pisum sativum (pea) long non-coding RNA (PSAT_LNC002106)". Lineage: Eukaryota; Viridiplantae; Streptophyta; Magnoliopsida; Fabales; Fabaceae. The record is from RNAcentral.
GCAAUGGUUCCUCAAUUUGGCUCAAUGUUGGAAUUCCUAGCACAAGAACACACAUAUUAAAAAGUUCUAUCAAACAAACAAAGAGUGAACAAGAAGGAGUUUAGAGAUUUGUCCUUUCAAAGUCCUCUUCAACGUUCAUAGCAUUCUAAAGGCUCAAUUGCCUAGUUGCUCUUUGACUUUUAUACCAUUCUAAAGGCUCAAUGCCUAGUUGCUCUUUGACUCCAAGUUUGCAUAGGGGAAGUCCUAAUAUCUAAGUCCAAUUGUUCAUUUCUUUGCAUUUGGUCCACAACAAUCAAAACAAAACACAAGCACAAUAAUAUAUACACAAUUAUGUGCUCACGUGAGCAAAAGGCAAAUUGCAUUAACAUAAACAUGUGCUCAAAUGAGCAAAGGGAAAAGCAAAUGAAUAAUAUGUACAAGAAUAAUAAAUUGCAUAAAUGUAAAGGGAAAAAAGUAAAUGUUAAUAGUUAAUGAUUAGUAUUAGUGGUUAGUGUGCCAUAAGACAAAUUUAGCGCUAUGUUAAGCAAUCGUAAUUGGACUUAUGUAGAAGUCACAACUAUCUGAGGCCGGUCAAUAAUAAUGUAGGCAACAACACAAGUUAGAAGUCACAAUCGUAAUUGGACUUAUGUAGAAGUCACAACUAUCUGAGGCCGGUCAAUAAUAAUGUAGGCAACAACACAAGUUAGAAGUCUUGAUUAGUGAACCAAGUUCCAACAACUUGCCAUGCCAAAAAUAGGAUGAGAAAUGAUCUUGUAUUGGUUUAAGUCCUUUGCAUAAUUUAAGAAGCAAUUUAUCCUUAAUGCAAAGCCAUUCACUUGAUCAACUGAUCAAGAUGAAUUAGAUUUGAAUCAAGGAAAAUUAAACCUCCCUAAUCAAUGCUAACUAUCAACCUUUAACUCAUUGAUCAAAGAGCAAAGAAGAAGAAGAAGAAGAAAAAUGGAUAAUGGAAAUGAAGAAAAUAAAGUGCAUUAAGUGAAAUGGAAUGUACCAAUCCACAAAUGUUGACCAAAGAUAGGGAAGAUCAAGGUCAAGCCAUAAAAAACAGAAGUGAGAUGAAGAUUGGAAGUCAAGGAAUAAACAAAACAUUUUUGGCAUUUUUAAUAUUUGAAAAUAAACUUGAAUUAAAAUAUUAAAGAAAGGUCAAACUUCAAAUUCACUUCAAAUCAACUUUGAAAAGUCAAAGUGAGUUAUCCCAAGUUCAACAAGGUCAAACAAAAUUUGACAAAAAAUUUCAUCAUUUUUAAAAGUCAAAAACUAUUUUUAAUCAAUUAAAAAUGAAGAAAAAUAACCUAAUUGAACUAAAAUCUCAAAUAAAUCUCAAAUCAAUUAAUAAAUUGAUGAGAAUAUUUUCCAUAGAUGAAUCAUCAUUCAAAGAAGUUAGAAAAAUAUUUUUGUAAUUUUUGAAUAUAAAAAACUAUUUAAAAUGAAUUAAAAAUAACCAGAAAAGAGAAAAUUAUUAAAAAAUAGCAAAUGAUAAAAUAAAAAAUAUUAAAAAUCAUUUUUAGAAACUAGAAAAUUCAACAAGAAAAUAAAUGCCAAUCUGAGUCCCAGUAUUUUUUGGAUCAAUAAUAAAAGAGUAUGGAUUUUAGAAAUGAAAGGGAAUUAAAAAAUGAAAUAGAAAUAAAAUCCGAAAAUGAAAUAUGGAAUCCACACGCGUUGGAUCUAAGCUCAUUAAUUUGAGCUGGAUCAUCAAACGGCUCAUGCGAUGCGCGCGCACCCACACUCCAGUCAAUGAGUCACAUGGAUAUUAAAUAAAAGUCUAAACAAUGGAGGCGUGGAGAUUAAUCCGGACGGAAUGCAUCGUGUGGCACUCAGAGUUUGUCUGGCAACAGCCGGUGGCCAGCGCAACCGUGUCUCCCGGUGAGACAAAAAAAUGCAGGUUCAAAUGUUACUAAAUGAACAAUCCAGGCACUUCGAAAGGUGAAGUGAUGUACAUCACUCCUAUGCCAUCACUUCCACUCUAGAUUCUAUUAAGAGAGAAUCAGAGAUGGAAGUUUGGUGGUGUUCAACUGUUGCUCGAUUUCCAACAAUUAAACACCAAUAAUGAUGCCUCUAUAGAGGGACUUCAGACAACAACAAGAUCUAAGGCAAUGGAGCAAGUAUAAUGAGAUUCGAAGCAAUUUCAGUCGAGCAAAACCUUGGAUUGGAAGAAUUGAGUCACUCCUCUUUGGUUCCUUUUGCACACAGGAAGCUUCAAUGGAUCAAAUGAUGAAGGUCUAGGAACUUUAGAUCUUAAAAUUCAACCAAAUGCAAUUGAAUUUCAGAUCUGAAAAUUUGGAGAAAAAUGGAGUUUGUUCCUUUAGGUAUAGCUAGGGAUUCAAUCUUGCAGCAUUUCAGGCGCCUUCAGGUUACCUUUCAAGUGAAGCAAUGCAUUCUAUUUAUAGCUGGAGCUCCAGGAGAGUGUGAUGAGAACCGUGUGCAUGAGAAUUGGGUCCUCCAUGCAUGGGCCUGUACAUACGCAUGUGAGGCCCAAAAUCAAAUGGUUUUGCAUGCUGAACUCAAAUGAAUCAAAUUUGUACGUGCAAAUUGAAAGGCAUUGGCUUGUGCAUGAAGAUUCAUCAUGAAAUGCAUAAAUGGUCACAAAACUUCAAGUCUUCGAAAAUCCUUUUUGCAAAAUGGAAACAUAGGCAUGUAGGUAAUGGUUGGAAAGGUCUUGACAUAAGGAACAAAUGUUAUGUUGGACAAAAACUCAUUUGGAGUGUGGAAUUUUAUGAAAACAGGCCAUAAAGUUCAAUGUACAAAAUAUGCCUUUGAGAAUUUUGUCAAAAUGAACCACAUUCAAGCCCUUCUGUUUUGAUGAUGCAAGCUCCAAAUGAUAAAAUCUUCAACAUGAAAGUUGUAGAUAUUUUCAAUACAAUAAAUUGGGACUUAAAUUUUGCCUCAUUUGGAUUUUUGAUGAAGAAGUUAUGGGCACUUGAAGUUGGUCUUUUUCACUUUUCAAUACAUUUGGUCCAAAGUGACCUAUAAGGUUUUGCAUUAUCACAUGUAUUUAUUUUGGGAUUAUGAAAUUUUGUCCAACAUAAAAUUUUAAUUAGACUUCUUAAGAUUUACAAUGCAUUUGGUCCCCCCUCAAAAUCAUAAAAAAUGAAUGAGUUAUGUUCUUGGGAAGUUGACCUAAAAUUAGGGUUUCAGUCAAAAUGACCUAUAAUGUCUUGGAAUAGAAGAUGACCUUACAAGCUUCAAAUAAAAUUUUGAUGAACAUGAAAGUUGUUCAUAUUGUCCUUAAUAACAUUUUCUCUCUUGGGGUAAUCUCCAUUUGACCAACACAUAAAAAGUUAGGUCUCAGUGCAUUUCAAGAUAGUCAGAUGAAUUGACUGAUCAACUUCUCAAGUCCACAACUCAUACCUUGAUGAAUUGAUGAUUGAGGGCACUCAAAUUUGACCAACACAUAAAAAGUUAGGUCUCAGUGCAUUUCAAGAUAGUCAGAUGAAUUGACUGAUCAACUUCUCAAGUCCACAACUCAUACCUUGAUGAAUUGAUGAUUGAGGGCACUCAAAUAAGUUAAAAUAUGUAUGAAAUGAUGAAUUAUAGAACUUCCCUUGAUUUUAUUUGACCAUGGGUUGAGGUUGCUUCAAGGGCAAGGCACAGUUGAUGAACAAAUGAAUUAGGGUUUCCUUGGGAAACAAACCUCAAACCCCUUGACUUGCUUUGAUCAAAAAGGAUGAUUUGAGAUAAUUGGGAGGCAUAUUUGAUGGAUGAGGGAUUUGGGAACCAUUACCAUGCUUGCUUUCAUUUUCUCUUGACCAUAUCAUUGCACAAAGGAUCUCCUAGAAACUUUUGACCUUGUGACUGCUCAAGCUACAAACAAAAGAUGUUAGUGACAUAUUUUUGUGCUUUUGGUUAGUAAAUAAAAAUGAGAAAAGAAAUAAUAUACAAUUCAAGCAUGCUUGGUGAUCUCAAACCACUCACAAGGGGUCCCACCCAAAGGCAAAGGGAACCAAGAUGCUCAUGAUCCUUGAGGCUUUGCAAAUGCAAUGUUAUGAUGCCAUGUGGGAUCUUAGGGCCAAAAUUGGGGUCUUACAGGCUUGAAGAUCAUCAGUCUGUGCAAUAUGAUUUUCCUGAUGAAGAGAUCUUGUAUCUGAAAAUGAAAGAUUAUGAUGAACCAUUGCUUGAAGAAGGGCCAAAACCUGGUUCCCGUUGGGGCAUGGUAUUUGAUGAAGCUGUUAAUUAGUAUGGUAAUGGAAUUGGGGCAAUGAUUAUUACUCCUCAAGGCACUCAUUUUCCGUUUACAGCUAGAUUGACUUUAAAAUAUACGAACAACAUGGCUGAGUAUGAAGCUUGCAUUAUGGGGCUUGAAGAGGCCAUUGAUCUCAAAAUCAAAUAUCUUGACGUCUAUGGAGAUUCAGCUUUGGUUGUGAAUCAGAUCAAAGGUGAAUGGGAGACUAAUCAACUCAGUUUGAUACCAUAUAGAGAUUAUGCAAGGAGGAUAUCAACCUUCUUUACAAAGGUUGAGUUUUAUCAUAUCCCUCGAAAUGAAAACCGGAUGGCAGAUGCUCUUGCAACGUCGACUUCAAUGAUUAUGGUGAAAUUUUGGAAGAAGGUUCCUAAUUUGACUGUGAUGCAUCUUGAUAGGCCAACUCAUGUGUUUGUUGUUGAAGAGGUCAAAGAUGAAAAUCCAUGGUAUUUUGAUAUCAAGUGUUUUCUCCAAAGUGAAAUUUACCCGUCUGGGGCAUCCUUGAAAGAUAAGAAGACUUUGAGAAGAUUAGCUGGAAACCUCUACCUAAAUGGUGAUGUGCUGUACAAAAGAAACUUCGAUAUGGUUCUGCUCAGAUGCGUGGAUAGACACGAAGCAAACAUGUUGAUGACUGAAGUCCAUGAAGGUUCCUUUGGUACUCAUUCCAAUGGACAUGCUAUGGCUAAGAAGAUGUUGAGAGCAGGUUACUAUUAGUUGAAAAUGGAAUCUGACUGUUGCAAGUUUGUGAAGAAAUGCCACAAGUGUCAAAUUUAUGCAGAUAAGAUUCAUGUUCUUCCGACACUGUUGAAUGUCAUUUCCUCUCCAUAGCCCUUCUCCAUGUGGGGAAUUGAUAUGAUUGGCAUGAUUGAGCCCAAAGCUUCGAACGAACAUCGUUUCAUUCUAGUGGAUAUUGACUACUUCACAAAGUGGGUUGAAGCGACAUCAUAUGCGAAUGUAACCAAGCAAGUUAUUGUAAGGUUUAUCAAGAAUCAGAUUAUAUGCCGUUAUGGUGUGCCGAGUAAGAUCAUUACUGAUAAUGGAUCUAACUUGAACAAUAGUAUGGUAGAAGCUCUUUGCAAAGACUUCAAGAUUGUGCAUCAUAAUUCUUCUCCCUACAGACCUAAGAUGAAUGGGGAUGUUGAAGCUGCGAGUAACAACAUAUGGAAGAUCAUUCAGAAGAUGGUUGUAACCUACAAGGAUUGGCAUGAGAUGCUCCCAUUUUCUUUGCAUGGGUACCGUACAUCUAUUCGCACUUCAACAGGGGAAACCCCUUUCUCACUUGUUUAUGGUAUGUAAGUUGUGCUCCCAGUAGAGGUGGAGAUCCCAUCAUUGCGUGUCUUGAUGGAAGCCAAGUUAACAGAAGUUGAAUGGUUCUAGAUCAGAUAUGAUCAACUAUAUUUGAUUGAAGAGGAGAGGUUGACUGCCAUGUGUCAUGGUCAGUUAUAUCAACAGAGAAUGAAGAAGGAAUUUGAUAAGAAGGUCAAACCUCGCGUGUUCAGAGAAGGUGAACUCGUGCUCAAGAAGAUUCUAUCUUUAAAACCUGAUGCUAGGGGCAAAUGGACUCGUAAUUAUGAAGGCCCAUAUGUUGUUAAGAGAGCCUUUUCAGACGGUGCUUUGAUUCUUACAACUAUGAAUGGGGAAGAGUUCACUCGUCCUGUGAAUGCCGAUGCAGUCAAGAAAUACUUCGCCUAAAAAUAAAAGUACAACUCGCUAAGUUGAAAACCCGAAAGGGUUGCUUAGGCAAAAAUGAGUGUCUCAGUGGAUUGAAAACCCGAAAGGGAGUUCCAGGCAAAAGUUAGAGACUUAAAACAGAAAAUUUAUCCCGAGAGAUUGAGUACCCCACCUUGGGGAAAUUUAUGCAAAAAUUAGGGAUUAUGGCAAGUAACUGCGUUCGAUUGAUCUCUAGUCUUGAGCAAGUCAGUCAACUCGGAUUCACCAUUUUCAACCAAAACCAAGAACACAGUGGAUAUUGAAGUUGGUAGAAGGACUAAUGAUCAUUAUAUUCAGGUCAUCCCUUUUCCAUGUAAAUUACCAUUUUUCAACUUUUUUAAAAGAUCUAUGGAGUCUUGUCAUUUACAGGCUAUCAUUCUAUUAAAUAAAGUUGAGCUUUUUAUCCAAAUUGUUUCUACUCUUAUUUAUCUUUCAGCUAAAUAGAAUAGAAUUUUUAUGAUGAUAAUUUCAAAGUUUGAAUUUAAAAAUAAAAAAACCAUUUUUCUUAAAAUAAUAAAAGCAAUUACUUUAAAAAAAAGCAAUCGAUUUCAGUAAAGGGAUGUCAAUAGCAGUCUGAGAACAGGUAAGUCUUAAAGUACGGAACACUAUUGGUCUUUUUCCCAAGCAGUUGACACUUCAGUUUCUCCAGCCGAGUUUUGUGAUCGCCUCCCCAACUGAGUUGUAUGUGCAUAUUCUCAACAGUUUGCAUAGAUUCAGCACCGAUUUUUAUUCCCCUCAAGUCACCAUCAAAGUUUACUCCUAGACCCCGCCAUCACUGAUUCUUGAGCAGUAUUUUUUUGGUCCUCUACAAGGUUGUCUCCCAUUUUGGUAUGGCGUUGACCUAAAAUUCCUCGUAGAGUUGAUGAUGUAGAUCCUCAGUAGAUCUUCUCUCUUUCCCCAGUAAGGGUCGAGCUAUUUUGAGGUGGAUGAUUUAUGUUCAUCCCUAACUUUUUCUCCAGUUGAUGCCUCCAUCCUGUCGAGAUUAGUCGGGUGUUGUAUCGAUGAUUCAGAUCAUUGACAUUUGUAUCCUUUGUGAUUGUUUUGUCAGCAUAAUCAUCAAUCUUAUAUACAUAUACAUAUACAUUCAUACAUCAGAUAUUUCAUUAUUGCAUUAUUAUUUCAUUUGAUUCCCCAUUUUCUAAUCCUCUUCUAUGGUGAUAUCCUUUCCCCACGCAGAUUUGGUGCGUCUGUCCUUCCUCAGUUGUAGAGUGCCAGCCCCUUAAGAAGAGAGAAUUUAGCCUUUCUCAUUCCCCACUGAGUUAUUUCCCCGUGGAUGGUUAUUAUUCCAGCUUCCUCCCCAGUUGAUUGUCUGGAUGGAACCACUCCCCCUGAGUUAUAUCCUCACCGGUUCGAGUCUUUGAUUGACCAUUUCUUUCUAGCCUUUACCUAGAUAGAUGUUUUGGUCCCCUGAGAGUCUAUUACCCAGUAACUGGUAAUAUUCUCCUCGAUUUGCGAGUACCUUACUCUUUCCCAAUACCCAUUAAUAGUAAUAUACUUCCUCUUGUUUUCCCAGUGGAUUCGUUUUACGUCUCCCCAGGUAGUCUAUCCUUGAUAUAUUCAUCCUAACCGAUGACAAAUAUUCUUCUCUUUGGGUCUAUCCUUGAUAUGUUCAUCUUAACCGAUGACAGAUAUUCUCCCCUUUUUGGUUUUCUACCCAGUAAAAAGGUAGUCGUAACUCCUAUUUUCAUCCCCCAGAGGGUUAAUCCUUGAUAUGUUCAUCCUAACUGAUGACGGGUUUCCUCAUCUUUGCGAUCUUCUUCCCAGUAACCGGUAGUUGUAAAUCCUGUUUUUCCCUGCUGAGUCUAUCCUUGAUAUGUUCAUCCUAACUGGUGACAGAUAUUCUCUUUUUGGUAUUCUAUCUACUAACUGAUAGAUAUAAUUCAUAUUUUCUCCCCGACAGUAUAUCCUUCAUAUGUUCAUCUUAGCCUAUGACAAAUAUUCUUCCCUUUGAGUUUAUCCUUGAUAUGUUCACUUUAACCAGUGACGAAUAUUCUCUCUCUUUGGUCUUCUGCCUAGUAACCGGUAGUUGUAAAUCCUAUUUGAUAUUUUCCCCAAUAGGAUGUUCUUACCCAGUAACCGGUAACGAACACACCUCUUUUUCCUCAGCGAGUCAUCCUUGAUAUAUUUAUCCUAACUGAUAACGGAUGCCUCUCUGUCAGAUUAUGUUAUCUCCUUACCUAGUAACCGGUAAUAGGUAAUGUAAUUAUGAUACUUCUGUGUUGAAGUUCAUUCUUCCCCAGUUGAGUUUGAGUGCGUAUUUCCCUAUUGAAAUCUCCAUUUCCUGUUUGGUUCGAGUAUUUCAGUUUGGUUCUGAUUUACCCGUUUCCCCUGUAAAUUUUUCUUCUUUAUCCCCAACCGAGUCCUUCCAUUGAUUUAUUUUCAAGGAAUCCUCUUAUGUCUCCAGCAUGUUUUUUAGUCGUAACCUAGCAUACGCGCAACUUUUUAUCCCCCAGAGUCUCUGCCUCCCUAGUGAGUUUUCCUUAUGGAAUGCAUUAUGCUCCUGCGGACUUUCAGUCUCCCCGGGUUCUAUAUCAUAUGCAUCAUGAGGUCUCUAAGGGACCAAAGUUGGUUUCUAUAUGUUGUUAUUUAAGUCCAUUCUACAAAGUCGAUACGAAGAUUUUAACCUUCAUCGCCUCAGUUAGAAUGUCCUUAAAUAGGGGCAGUUGUAAGACCCCAAUUUUGACCCUAAGAUCCCUCAUGCCAUCUCAUCAUAUGCAUUAGCAUUGGGAUCACACCUUGGCAUCCUCCUUACCCUUCCUUCAUUGGGUUUGCAUUGGGACAGAUCACCAAGCACACUUAUGAUUGUAUCAUACUUUGCUUUUCAUUAUUUACUAACCAAAAUACCAAAAAUAUGUCAAUGUAUAGUUUGUUGCUUUUGUAGGUAGUGUGCAUGUUCACCUAUGCUCUAUAAAGCUCAUAUCUAGGGUUUAAGACCCUCAAUGUAAGGAGUGCAAUUAAGAAUUGGUUCCCAUUGGAUCUAAGCAUCAUAUAUGGAUCCCCAUGAUCUUCACAUAUCAUUUUGAUCAAGAAAUCAUCAAGAGUUUGGAGUUUGUUUGCCUUGGAAACCCUAAUUCAUCUGGGUAUCUUGUGUGACUUCUUCAACAUCAUAUAUGGAUCCCCAUGAUCUUCACAUAUCAUUUUGAUCAAGAAAUCAUCAAGAGUUUGGAGUUUGUUUGCCUUGGAAACCCUAAUUCAUCUGGGUAUCUUGUGUGACUUCUUCAACAAGUUUCUACAACAUUUGAUCAAAUAUUUCAAUGGAUAAUUCAUAUUACAUCAUCUUACACAUAUAUGAUCCUCCAUGAGUCCCAAAAGUCAAGAUAAUAUCAAGCUAGCAAGUUGGUUCAUGGUGGUUGACCAGAGAAAGUCAACUGGUCAAAACUGGGGUUCUCUAGACCAUAUCUCCUACAGUUUUUGUCAUAUGAAAAAUGAUUCCAAGAUCAAAGUUACUCAAAGUGACAUUACAAACAACUUUCAUGUUUAAGUCAAGAUCUAGGUUUGCUUGGAAUGUAAUUUUUUAUGGUGAAAGAUUAUAGGUCAUUUUGUCUGAACCCUAGUUUGGAGGUCAACUUCCAAAGACCAUAACUUGCUCAAUUUUUAUGAUAUGGAAGCCAUUCAAAUUCCAUGAUCAAAUUCAAGAUGUCUACUUAAACUUUGAUUUUGGGAGGAAGUUCAAGUUCAACUUGCAAAUGGAUGUGCCAAGAGGAAACAUUAUAGGUCAUUUUGGGCCAUCACCAUUGAACAAGUAAUUUUCCUCAACUUCUAAAAUGCAUAACUCCUUCAUGCCAAAUCAAAAUGAGGUCAAAUUUGUGACCAAAUUGAAUAGGUUUUAAAGAGAUACAACUUUUAUGAAAUAAUGUUUCUCAUUUGAAGUCCAUAGAAAAAGUUAUUCAAGGUGGAAGAAGUGAGCAUUUGAUUUGGGACUUAGAAAAUUUUCAAAUAUGUUGGAUUUCCCAAACUUCCACCUCAAAAUCCAUCAUGAUACAAGAUUCAAAUGAAAACGUGUUCAACAUCAAAGUUGUUCCCCUUAAUCUCAACUUUCCAAAAAGUCCAAGAUCAUCUCAUUUGGCCAAAGGAUGAAGGACUUGCACAUGGGUGCAAUAUGAAGAACCAGUUGAAUGAUUUCCACUUCCACUUCUCAUACACGAUUGGAUGGCCUAACAACAUGAUUUCAACAUGAUUCUCACUCAUUUUUGGACCUGAUUGCAUCACUUAAUGGGCCCAUCACACUCACAUGCAAGCAUGCAAAGGGAAUUACUCAUUUUUGCAAAAUAUGGAAGUGUGUGGAAAUGAAUCUACUUGGGCUAUAAAUAAGACCCUCAUUGCUCAGAAUUAAGGACCUCAUGCCCAAACUUUGAACCUGCAACCCCAAACCCUCACCAUUGAAGGAUAAUAUUAAAGAUUUUCUUUGAAAAUCGAGUUUUAAAUCUCCAUCUGUUUUGAGAUAGAAAUCCAAGAGUCCAGACCUUUUCUUGAUCCUAAUCACUUCCAACAAGCAUCUGAAGCAAGGCCAAGCACAAUUGGAAUCAAGAUCGUGCCAAUUUGAAGCUCUAUUGAAGGUGAAUUUUCAUAAUUUUCUUCUCUUCGAUUCUCCCUCAAUUCUUCACCAUUCUUUGUGAUUUUUGGUUGUCUGAAGUCCUAUCAAUGUAGGCAAUAAGAUUGAGUUGCUUUGAGGUCAAAACGAAGAAACUCAGUUCAUGAUCCUCAAAAUUCAAAUCCCUGUAUCUUUUUAUAUACUUGGAAUUGGAGAAAAUUGAGGCCAGAUUCGAGCUCCUGAGCAUUUUUUCUUUAAAUCCAUGUCUUUGUUUUUCAUUUUGGUGAUGGUUGAUGGUGGACCAGUCCGGUGAGGUCCACCGGAGAAGAAGACCGGAGCCCUAGCUCCGGUGAUGCGUUGUUACACAUCUCAGCCACAACAUCCAUUUGAAAUCUUUUAAUCUCGUCCCUUGCUUUUGAUUACCAAGCCUGAAGCGCGUUUGACUCAGGUACUUGUGGAAUGCCCGCUUCUAGCAAUCAUAUCAGCCACCUCAAUUAAUAAGGGAGAUCUGAUGGCCCUUGUUUUUUUGAUUUUUGUAUUUUUAUGUUUAAUCCCUUUAUUUUAAUUAAUUCAUAUUUUUCUCUUUCAUUUUCUGAAUUAAAAUUAUUUUUUGGGAUUAAUUUUGAUAUUUUUCAUGAAUUAAUUGUUUUUGUGCAUAUGUUUAAUUGCUUAAAAAUACUUCUGACUUUUCAAAAUUUAUGAAUAUUUUGUCUAAGGUCCUUUGACCUUGUUUGACCUAGGAUAAAUCUCUUGGCCAUUUAUUUGGUAUUUUGAAGAGGUUUUAGGUUUUGACAAAACUAAAUUUAAUUUUAAUGCAAUUUUAAUUUGAUUUUUAAUUGAUUAAUUGUGUAGAAACUAUGUUGAGCCAUUUUUAUUGACUUGUGAAGUUUGACUAUGUGUUUGGGCCUUGGUCAAGGUUGAUUUGACUUUUGUUGAGUUAAAAUCAUUGAAUUUAGGGGAUUGAUGAAAUGUACAUUUUUUGCUUCCAAAAUGAAUGAAUGAUUUUAAUUUGAUAAAAUUCCUCCCAUGACCAAUUUGUGUUUCUCUCACCUCCACUCCCUCUUCAUCUUCAAUCCCAUUCUUUCCCAAACCUACCAUUGACCAAUGAAGUCUCAAUAUCUUAAGGCUAAUUGGUUCAUCAAUAACUUUGUGUUAGAUGAACCAAUAUAAGUAUGGAUGAGAUAGGUUCAUCCUUUGAUCUUUUUUUUCUUUUUUGUGUGUGGCAUGUUUUAGGAGUAUGGUUCAUUAUACCAUAUCUCUAACAUACAUUAACACCAAAAUUUCUAUUGCCUGGCCUCAGAUAGUUGUGACUUCUACAUAAGUCUAAUUAUGAUUGCUUAACAUAGAGAUAAAUCUUGACCCAAAGGCAUAACAUUCUAGUAAGUGAGAUUGUAAGUCUCCCCACUUUCAUGGUAUUGUGUGGAAACUUGACAUUUUUCCUUCCUUUAGAAGAUGUUUUUUGGUUCAAGGAUCCAUGCUUGUGAAUAAAGGGUUGAGUGUUCUUUAAAGAAUGACUUAAUCAAUUGAAAAUCAAAAUAUUACUAACAUCUAAUCAACUAACAUUUGACUAACUUUUAUUAUUAUUUCUUUUAUUUUUCAAGUCAUUUACUUUAUGCAAUUUAAAUUCAAGUCAUUUAUCAUUUCAUUUGUCAUUUACAUAUCAUUUAACUUGUUUAUGUUUAUGUCAUUUUCACUUUGCUCAUUUGAGCCAUAAUAUUUUUCAAGUCAUUUACUUUAUGCAAUUUAAAUUCAAGUCAUUUAUCAUUUCAUUUGUCAUUUACAUAUCAUUUAACUUGUUUAUGUUUAUGUCAUUUUCACUUUGCUCAUUUGAGCCAUAUAUUGUGAUUGUACAUAUUUGUUUGUGUAUUUUGUUUGUGUUUAUGGUCUUAGGACCUUAAAAUACUUAAUAAACAACAAAAACCCUAACAAAUGUUUGUGUGGACUAUUGGGUUUGAUCUGAGCUUUUGGACUUAGAGUUAGGCAACAUUCCAUAUGCAAAAGGACUUGGCCAAUGCCAACAUUUCUGAAACAAAGUUAUUGUGAUUUGAGCUUUCAUCUGAUGCAAAUAUUGGGAUCCUCAUGAAUUCAUAUGCUACAUGGCCUGGAUACAACUGUUACUAUGAACCUGUGUCUAAUGCCUUAUUUUGAGCUAAUCAAGGAGUAUGUCAUCUGAUACUUGAGAAGAUAAAGAAGAUUGUUAGCUGUGAAGUUGCUUGCUUGGAUGUGGCCAUCUUUAUUUGAUGCCUUGCUUGAUAUUUCUAAUUGCUUGUUGAUUAUUGCUUGGUACAAAGUCCAAAAGGGAAAAUGGGUUUUCUAUAUAACAUUCUUGUCUGUUGGAUUGCAUUCCAUUGGUCAGAUCUUUUCAACUUUUAACUUUUAAUUUUUAUGCUUAGGAUUAGUCUCUUCAUCUCCUCCCAUUUCUUAAAUUUCAAAAUCUCUCCCCCCUGUCAAAACCUUUCUUUGCUUGUGAUUUCAAACUUACACUCUUUUGCAAAUUAGAAACUUUGGCCUUAUGUCAUUGCAAUUUUAAACUCUUUUCUUAAUCAAAUUUGUUAACGAACUUAACCAUAUAUACUUAAAAUUUCAAAAGACAAAAAGAACUAACACCCAUUUCUACUCAACAAACAACUGCAUCUACCGAUGUUGUCUCACCCCCCAUCCACAGAGAACCCCACAUUCUUGAUUGUGAACCUCACAUCCAUCUUGUAACACAAUUUGAGAAGCUUGAGGUACUGUGCGAAUCGCUGGUAGAUUUUGACAAUAUGAAGCUUAAUGGCAUAGACCUUACUGAGGCGUUAAGAAUGCAAGGGUGGGAAACCUACUUUCAGAGACUCUAUGGUCCGAUGUACACGUAUCUGGUGAAGGAGUUCUAGCGUUUAGCAAACUCAGAUGAUCACUAUAUCGUCUCUCACGUUCUGGGAGUCAAAAUAAUCAUCACUGAAAAAUCAAUAGCCUCCCUUCUGAACAUGGAAAAGACAAGAGGAAGAAGAAUCUACAACAUUAAUCCUAGGGCAAAGUAUCUGUCCCAAGAAAUAGCCCCCACCAUCUUUCAACAGAACGUUGAGGGCAAACACUCCAAAAACAAAGAACUUCAUCAGAAUCUCCGCGUCUGGCUGAAGAUCAUCCUGGGCACAAUCCAUCACCGCCCUGCAUCAAACUCUUAUGACUACAUCAACACGGAUCAGAAGUGCAUCCUUUACUGCAUCCACAAAGGGCUGAAACUGAAUCUGCCAGCGCUGCUCUUCAAGUAUCUCAAAGAUUCUGUCAAAGAUACCAGAAAUAACAUGAAGACCAGAACCUACAUUCCUCUGGGAAGACUUAUCUCGGAUGUUCUGAUCGAGAGUGGAUUGGUGGAUCAUCUGAUCCGUCAUAAUCUGAUGGAAGAUGUCACUAUUGACACUCGAAGACCUCUGAAUGCACAAAAUCUGAAGAGUAUGGGGGUAAUUGAGAAAGUCAGAGCUAAACCAACUCUAGACACUUCCUGGGAAGCACUGAAGGACCCGAGGAAGAUCCCCAACGGUCUCUACCUGUUCUCCAAGAUUGACCCUCCAGAAGUGGUGGCUCAUUAUCUAUAAGAUCUUGCAAACCAAGGGGUGGACAUUUCUGAGUUCUCAGUGGACUUUCUACCUGAGCAUCCACCAAACUUCAUGAAGAGGAUGUGAGAGCCCUCUGAGAAGUCCAAGAAGGAAAAGAAGGCAAAGUUGGGAGAAAACUCCAGGUCAAAACCUCCAAUCCCUCUGGCUAAUUCUCCAAGUAAGUCUAUGCCUCCUUCUCGCUCUAUUAAAUUAAAGCCUAUUGAUUCUUCUACCCCCCAUAACACUCCCAUUUUCACCCCAUCAGAAACACCUCCCUCAACCACCAGAACUUCUAACCCACCAUCCCUAAAAUUCAAUCUCACAACCACUACCCUACCUGUUUCUGAAGUAGAAAUGCUGAACGAAACCACCUCACCAUCAUCUUCCUCACCUUUCUCCCCACCAUACUAUAUUCUCUCAUCAGACAACGAACCAUCUGACCCCUAAUCCCCCUCUCUAGCUCAACUUCAGGCACGUGCUCUGGCCUCACAGCAACCAUCACAACUUGAACCUAAACCUGAAGUCACGUCUCCACCCCUUGAACAACAAAAUCCAGAUCUAUUUGAUCAACCUUAAACACCAACCCCUGAACAACAAACUAAUCCACCUCCUGAAAUACCCUCACCAUCUGAACAUCAACCAAAUCUACAACCUGAACAAAUAACACGACCUCCCUCUAAUAUUCCCCCGCCACCAACCUCUGAUGCCAUCAUCACAUCCACUCACGAUCCCGCUGACACCAAUCCAACUCCACCAUCCUCCCAAGCCUCUAACUCUGAACCAGAAACUGCCUUCCCCACAUUAGAAGAAGCAAUAACUUUAUUUGUAGAGUCUUCAGUGGAGAAGAUCAAGUCUCUAUAUGUCAACUCUGGCAUCAGUGAUGAUCCCUCUACAAUGAGAAUCCACUGUAAUAGAGUGAUCAGAUGGAUGACCUCUAAAGCCUUCAAACUAAAAGGCCUCUCUGAACAAGUCCGCAACAACUUCAUCAGAGAUGCUGGAAUAACGCUACAGGCUCGCUUGGCCAGAGAGGAUGAGGAAAAGGCCAGGAAGGAAGCAGAAGAGAAAGCUCGCAUGGAAGAAAAGCAACGGAUAAGAGAAGCUGAAGAAAAGGUUGUUGCUGCUGAGGCUGAGGCACAAGCAAAAGCCGGAGCUAAAGAAGCAGCACACAUUACUGCAGAGGAAGCUGCCAAGGCCAGUGCUGAUGCUCUGACUCAGGGGGAGCAAUCUAACUCUGGUUUUGCCCCUCUGGUCUUAAAGUCUCUGGAGGAACUGCAAAAGGAACAACAUGUGAUACAAGCAAGGUUGGAUCACCAGGAUUCCGUCAACACCAACAUUCAGAAUCAGCUGACUCAGCUACUCCAAAGGAUGCCUCCACCCCUAAACCCUUAGGCACUUAGGCUCUUUGGUUGUUGCUUUUCUUCUGAUGUUUUUUUUCUUAUGCUUUCUGAUAUAUGGUUUCAUUGCUUCCUAUUUGUACCUAUUUUCUCUUAGAUAUGACUAUCCAUUUCCUGCCUCUAUUUCUGUCUUUUUGAUUCUGACAAAAAGGGGGAGAACUAAAACAAAUCUGAUGAAAAUAUAUAUCUAAACCUCUCAAGGCACUGCGGACAUUAAAUAUCUUAAUGACUUAUGAGAACUAAAGUUAUGCAGGAUAAUAGCUAAGGUACAAAACCAAUUACCCCACAAAGAAGGUCCAGUAAGAACUUUUGUUAAAUCCGAUGAUAUAACUCAGGGGGAGUCCAUUCUCUUUAUCUGAUUCUGAGAUAUUACUUACUGUUUCAUCAUCACUCUGACUUGUUUUGUCAUCAUAAAAAAGGGGGAGAUUGUAAGAACAAAUUUAGUUCUACAAUAUAUCUCUAAGAUUUUGAUGAUAACAAAGGAUGAAACAAAAAUGGUACCCUAACGAAAUUUUUUCUAAGUGCGCAGGACUCUGAUCAAAAUAAUUAGAUAGAUAAUCAUCAGAUACAGAAUCAAGCGCUAAGAUGCUUCUCAGAAGAUACGCAACCAGAAGCUCUGACUCUGAUCAAACACAAGUGCAAGCUAAACUAAAGAAGUCAAACACUCUGAAGUGGAAGAACGACUCUAGAUCUGAAGAUGUACGCUCUGACAUAGUCAAAGUAAGAAAGAAACUCUGAAGAUAGUCAGCAACAAGCAUCAUCUGAAGUGGCAAUCAAGACUCUGACGUUAGGAUCCUCUGAUCCAGAAAGCUUAACCGCGAAGAAACUCGCUUAUGGAAAGAAACUAUUUUUAGAAGGAUGUUAUGACGCUCUAAAUAUUUCUUUGGAAAGAACAUGAAGAUUAAUGACUUUAAUCAUCCUUCAAUGCUCAAGAUUCUGACAUUAACAUCACUCAAUGAUCUGCUCUCUACUCCUAUAUAAAGGACGAAACACCAUCCAAAGAAUACGUCUGAAACGCACGAGAAUACAGUACUUCCGCCAUUCACUGUUCCUUCUCUCACGAGCUGCUGCUCUAACGUGGGAAUAUUUCUUGCUCUUAUCUUGUGUAAUAUCUGCUUAUUGCUAGAAGCGUUAUUCAUUACUGUAAUCAUACUAUUGCUAAGAUAAUUCCUCAAGUGACUUGUGAAGUCUGAAAACUUGAGACGACUAAGGGAUUAUUUUUCUCUUAGACGGUUGUUUGUGUAAUCUUUCAAGAUUAAUGGAUUAAGUCCUUUUGAAGGCGGAAUCACCUUGACCGGGUGGACUGGAGUAGCUUUGUAUUUCAAGUGAACCAGUAUAAAAUUCUGUGUUGAACUCUUUUUGUUUCUGCAUGUGUCUAAGUUCUAAAAAGUUUUUAUUUUCCUGAAAACAAAUCAAACCCCCCUUUCCUGUUUUUCUCUACCUUCAAUUGGUAUCCGAGCUUCAGCUCUGUUAUUGAUUUUCUAAUCAAACACUUAAUAGUGUAGAGAGAUCCAUUGUGAGAAAAACACUAUGGCCAACACCAAUGAAAGAGAUAGUUACAAUGCUAAACCUCUAAUCUUUGAUGGAGAAAAAUUUGAUUACUGGAAAGAUAGAAUUGAAAGUUUCUUUCUGGUCUAUGAUGCUGAUCUGUGGGACAUAGUUACUAUUGGCUACAUACCUCCUGUAUCUGACGAUGGCGUUGCCAUUACCAGAAGCAAGAUGAUAGAUGAUCAGAAACAGGACUUCAAAAACCAUCACAAAGCAAAAACAAUACUGCUGAAUGCCAUUUCCUACAAUGAAUAUGAAAAGAUCACCAACAGGGAAACAUCUAAAGAAAUACUUGACUCCCUGAGGAUGACUCACGAAGGAAAUUCUCAAGUCAAAGAGACAAAGGCUCUGGCUCUAUACAAUGAAUAUGAAAAGAUCACCAACAGGGAAACAUCUAAAGAAAUACUUGACUCCCUGAGGAUGACUCACGAAGGAAAUUCUCAAGUCAAAGAGACAAAGGCUCUGGCUCUAAUUCAGAAGUACGGAGCCUUCAAGAUGGAGGACGAUGAAGCUAUAAACGGUAAUGUUCUCUAGAUUUCAAACUUUAAUUGCAGGACUCAAGGUUCUGGAUAAAGGCUACAUAACUACAGAUCAUGUCAAAAAGAUAGUCAAAAGCUUGCCAAAGAAGUGGAGACCCAUGGUUACAACAUUAAAAUUAUCAAAGGAUCUGAACAAUAUCAGCCUUGAAGAACUCGUUAGUUCACUUAGAAGUCACGAGAUAGAACUUGAUGAAGAUGAGCCUCAAAAGAAGAUCAAAUCUGUAGCACUAAAAUCCAGAUCUGAAAGAUGCAAACCAGAAAGGAGCAAAGCCUUCCAAGCUGAAGAGGAAGACAAUGACGACUCUGAAAAGGAAGACUCUAACGAUGAAGAAGAGUUAUCCCUUUUGACCAGAAGAGUAAAAUGACUCUAGAGAAAAAGGAACAACAACUUCAGAAGACUAAGACCCAAGGGAGAUCGCUCAGAAUCAACUUCCAGAGGUAAAUAUAACAAAGAAACAACAUGCUAUGAAUGUAAGGAAACAUGUCAUUACAAAAACAAAUGUCCAAAGCUGAAGAAGGAAAGCUCCAGAAAAGAAAGUUUCAAGAAAAGCUCCUUCAAGACCAAAAAGGGACUGAUGGCCACCUGGGACGACAGUGGAUCUGAUUCCUCUGAAUCAGACUCUGAAGAAUAGGAAAAUGUUGCAUUCAUGGCUACCACCUCUGGAAACACAUCAGAUGGAGAAUCUGAUCCUGAAGAGGUAUUUUCCGAUCUUUCUCGCUCUGACCUUGAAUCAUGCCUUUCUGAAUCUUUGAACUCAUAUCAGAAACUUAAACAAAAAUUUAAAGCACUAAAAAGGGUUCUUGAAGGAACCAUCAAAGAAUGUGAUAAGCUUGAGAUGACAGUUUCAGAACUAAAAGAUGAAAAUCUAACUAUGACAAAAGAAAGAGACUCCACAAAUAAACAAUGUUUAAAACUUGAAGAAACUUUAUCUCAAGCCCCACAAACUUCUAACGCAAUGAUAUAUAAAUAUGAAAAAUCUUUUCAAAAGUUUCUGAAAAAUGGGAUAGAAAGAAGCAAAAUGGCAUCCAUGAUUUAUGGAGUCAGUCAGAAUAAUAAAAGAGGAAUGAGGUAUGAUCCUAGUGAAGAUAAAACUUCCACAGAUGACAAACCCAAAUCUCCUUUUUCUUAUCACUACACACAUGCACAAGCACAAUGUUUUGAUAAUGCUAGAAAACCCAAAGUUCUAAGAAACUCUGGGAAAACUAAUCACGAAGGAUCCAAAAGAUUCUGGGUACCAAAGGAUAAGAUUGUUUAUGUUGCAGAUAUCUUAUGCAGCAGAGUUAAGACACCAAUCAUGGUACCUGGACUCUGGUUGCUCGCAACACAUGAUGGGAAGAAAUUAUAUGUUCCAGAGCCUAGAACUUAAAGAUGUUGGCUUCGUAGGUUUUGGAGGUAAUCAGAAAGGAAGAAUCAGAGGCUCCAGAACUAUUGGUAAUGGAACUCUUCCCUCUAUAUCUGAUGUUCUCUAUGUAUAAGGAUUAAUGCAUAACCUGUUAUCAAUAAGCCAAUUAAGUGAUCACGGUUAUGAUGUAAUCUUCAAUAAAAAAACAUGUAAAGCAAUUAAUCAGAAUAAUGGAAUAUUUCUAUUCAUUGGCAAGAGGAAAAACAACAUUUGCAAAAUAAAUCUUUCAGAUCUAAAAGAUCAAAAUGUAAAAUGUUUGAUGUCUGUUCACGAAGAACAAUGGGUAUGACAUAGACGCUUGGGCCAUAUUAGCAUGAGAAAACUUUCUCAGCUAAAUAAACUCGAGUUAGUCAGAGGUCUACCUAAGCUGAAGUUUUCUUCAGAUGCUCUGUGUGAAGCAUGUCAGAAAGGAAAAUUUUCUAAAACAUUUUUUAAAAAUAAAAAUGUUGUUUCCACCUCAAAGCCUUUGUAACUUCUUCACAUUGACCUUUUUGGGUCUGUUAAGACAGCGUCAGUCAAUGGAAAGAAGUCUGAACUAGUAAUUGUUGAUUAUUUUAGUCGCUGGACAUGGGUAAAAUUUCUAAAGCAUAAGAGUGAGUCUCACUCUGUAUUCACUAGCUUCUGUUCUAAAGUGCAAAAUGAAUUUGACUCUAAAAUUAUCAGAGUCAUAAGUGAUCAUGGUGGAUAAGUUCUUUGAAGAACUGUUUGACUCUAAUGGAAUAUCCCAUGAUUUCUCCUGCCCUAGAAAUCCAUAACAAAAUGGAGUUGUAGAAAGGAAGAAUAGGACACUCCAAGAAAUAGCCAAAACCAUGAUCAAUGAAACAAACUUGGCUAAGCACUUUUGGGAUGAAGCAGUAAAUACAACGUGUUAUAUUCAAAAUAGAAUCUCUAUAAGACCUAUUCUGGAAAAGACUCCCUAUGAACCGGGUAAGGGAAGAAAACCCAACAUUUCUUAUUUCCAUCUGUUUGGAUGCUCUUGUUUUAUUCUCAAUACUAAAGAACAUCUGAACAAGUUUGAUUCAAAAGCAUAAAAAGGUAUUAUGUUAGGAUACUUAGAACGCUCUAAAGGCUACAGAGUAUACAAGACAGGAACCAAAAUUAUGGAAGAAUCAAUACAUGUUAGAUUUGAUGAUAAGCUUGAUCCUGAAAAGUCAAAGCUAGUUGAGAAACUUGCAGAUUUGUAGAUAACUCUUGCAGGCUCUGACGAAAAGACUAAAGCAUCAGAAGAAUCUGAGAAACAAAGUCCAGAUGCAACUGAAGUUUCAACUAUCUAGAAAAUAUCAAAAAAUCUCCCUAACAUCUCUGAAGAUUUGAUUCUGGGAAACAAGGAUGAACCUGUCAGAACUAGGUCAACAUUUAAAGUAUCUGAAGAAACUCCUCUAGGACUAGUAUCUCUAAUCGAGCCUACUUCCUGUGAUGAGGCACUUCAAGACAAUGAUUGGGUUCUGGCAAUGAAAAAAGAACUGGAUCAAUUCGCAAAGAAUGAUGUCUGGGAUCUUGUCCCAAAGCCUAAAGGAACUCACAUUAUUGGAACAAGAUGGGUAUUCAGAAACAAACUGAACGAAAAAGGAGAAGUAGUAAAAAAAAAGCACGAUUGGUGGCACGGGGUUACAGUCAACAAGAAGGCAUUGACUACAAUGAAACCUUUUCCCUAGUCUCCAGGUUAGAAUCUAUUUGCUUACUUGUUUCAUUUGCUGUAAAUCAUUCCAUCAAACUAUAUCAGAUGGAUGUCAAGAGUGCAUUCCUUAAUGGUUAUAUAUCAGAAGAAGUGUAUGUCAAUCAACCUCCAGGCUUUGAAAAUUCUGAAUGUCCAGAACACAUUUUUAAACUAAAGAAAUCACUGUAUGGACUAAAACAAGCUCCUAGAGCUUGGUAUGAAAGAUUGGGUAACUUUCUCCUGGAACAUGAUUUUAUUAGAGGACAGGUUGACUCUACACUCUUCUGUAAAAACAUUAGAAAUGAUCUCAUGAUAUGCCAGAUAUAUGUUGAUGACAUUAUUUUUGGUUCAGUUAACCCCUCUGUGUGUCAAGAAUUUUCUGAGCUAAUGCAGGCAGAAUUUGAAAUGAGCUUAAUGCAAGAACUAAAGUUCUUUCUGGGAAUUCAAAUCAAUCAAGCUUCAGAAGCUACUUAUGUAUACUAAAGUAAGUACAUAAAAGACAUUCUGAAGAAAUUCGAAAUGGCAGAAUGCAAACCUGCUAAGACACCCAUGCAUCCAACCUGCAUUCUGGAGAAAGAAGAAACUAGUCAAAAGGUUUACCAGAAGCUCUAUCGUGGUAUGAUAGGCUCUCUUCUCUAUCUGACUGCUAUAUGCCCUGAUAUUAUUUUUAGUGUAUGUCUUUACGCCAGAUUCCAAUCAGAUCCUAGGGAAUCUCACUUAAUAGUUGUUAAAAGAAUCCUAAGGUAUCUGAAAGGAACCCCUAAUCUUGGCCUGAUGUAUGAGAAAACAUCAGAGUAUAGGCACUCUGGUUAUUGCGAUGCAGAUUAUGCAGGGGACAUAAUGGAACGAAAAAGUACAUAUGGGAACUGUCAGUUCUUGGGAAAUAAUCUCAUAUCAUAGGCCAACAAAAGACAGUCAACCAUCGCCUUGUCUACUGCAGAAGCAUAAUAUAUAUCAGCUUCACUAUGCACUACUCAGAUGCUCUGGAUGAAAAAUCAACUAGAAGACCUUCUGCUCUUCGAGAGUAACGUUCCUAUCUUCUGUGAUAAUACGGCUGCCAUCUGUUUAAGUAAGAAUCCUAUCUUGCAUUCCAGAGAUAAGCACAUAGAAAUAAAACAUCAUUUUAUCAGAGACUAUGUUCAGAAAGGGGUAAUAUCAUUAAAAUUUAUUGAUACAUACCAUCAAUGUGCUGACAUUUUUACUAAACCCCUCGCUGAAGACAAAUUCUCUUUUAUUUUGAAAAUUUUAAACAUUCAAAUUUGCUCAGAAUAACCCAAAUGUACUUCUUUGAAAUAGUAAAAUAAGGCUCUGAGUUAAACAUUUGGUAUCUGGAUCUGACUCUGAUGCUUUUACCAGUUAGGAGUUAUCGGAAUCAGAAAUCUUCAGGAUCCAAUCCUUUGGUAUUCCUGAAGAUCAGAUAAAUCAACACGUGGGGCAUCAUGCGUCUGACUUUGGAUCUUCUAGACAGCUGUCUAGCAGAAAUCAAGAGACAGACCCUUGAAAUCUCCUCGAGCAGUGUGCUGAUCUGGGGAUUAGACCUCCAUCAUGGGCUGUAAUCAUUUCUCCCCUAAGCGUGUAAACUUGGAUAACGUGCAUCAUUAAUUUCAUAACUUCUAAACUACCUCUAACACUGUCGUUUUCCAUGCAUCUAUUUGGGUAUUAAUACUUUUCACUCAUCAUAAGCUCACACUUUACACUCACGCCCUACACAAACCCUCUCUCUCUCAGUUCAUCAUCUUCAUCAAGGUCUUCAUCAUCUUCAAAUCAAGUUCUUCAUCCUUCAACCAUUUCAACAAUUUCUACAUGGAUGCUCAACAACAAUCAGUUUAUAAUUACUCACAACAGAUGGAAUCAAUUGACCCAACACCUAUUUCUACUCAACAAACAACUGCAACUACUGGUGUUGUCUCAACCCCUAUCUACAGAGAACCCCACAUUCUUGACUUUAAACCUCACAUCCAUCUUGCAACACCAUUUGAGAAGCUUGAGGUACUGUGCGGAUCGAUGGUAGAUUUCGACAAUAUGAUGCGUAAUGGCAUAAACCUUACUGAGGAGUUAAGAAUGCAAGGGUGGGAAACCUACUUUCAGAGACUCUACGGUCCGGUGUACACCUAUCUGGUGAAGGAGUUCUGGCGUUUCAUAGACUCAGAUGAUCACUAUAUCAUCUCCCACGUUCUGGGAGUCAAAAUAGUUAUCACUGAAAAAAUCAAUAGCCUCCCUUCUGAACAUGGAAAAGACAGGAGGAAGAAGAAUCUACAACAUUAAUCCUAGGGCAAAGUAUUUGUCCCAGGAAAUAGCCCCCACCAUCUUUCAACAGAACGCUGAGGGAAAAUACUCCAAAAACAAAGAACUUCAUCAGAAUAUCCGUGUCUGGCUGAAGAUCAUCCUGGGCACCAUCCAUCACCGCCCUGCAUCAAACUCUUUUGACUACAUCGACAUGGAUCAGAAGUGCAUCCUUUACUGCAUCCACAAAGGGUUGAAACUAAAUCUGCCAGCGCUGCUCUUCAAGUAUCUCAGAGAUUCUGUCAAAGAUACCAUAAAUAACAUGAAGACCAGAACCUUCAUUCCUCUAGGAAGACUUAUCUCAGAUGUUCUAAUCGAGAGUGGAUUGGUGGAUCAUCUGAUCCGUCACAAUCUGAUGGAAGAUGUCACUGUUGACACUAGAAGACCUCUGAAUGCUCGAAAUCUGAAGAGUAUGAAGGUAAUUGAGCAAGUCAGAGCUAAACCAAAUCUAGACACUUCCUGGGAAGCACUGAAGGACCAGAGGAAGAUCCCCAAUGGUCUUUAUCUGUUCUCCAAGAUUGACCCUCUAGAAGUGGUGGCUCACUAUCUGCAUGAUCUUGCAAACCAAGGGGUGGACAUUUCUGAGUUCUUAGUGGAUUGGCUACCUGAGCAUCCAUCAAAAUUCAUGAAGAGGAUGCGAGAUCCCUCUGAGAAGUCCAAGAAGGCAAAGAAGGCAAAGUUGGGAGAAAACUCCAGGUCAAGACCUCCAGUCCCUCUGGCUAAUUCUCCAAGUAAGUCUAUGCCUCCUUCUCGCUCUGUUAAAUUAAAGCCUAUUGCUUCUUCUCUCCCCCAUAACACUCCCAUUUUCACCGCAUCAGAAACACCUCCCUCAACCACCAGAACAUCUAACCCACCAUCCCUCAAAUUCAAUCUUACAACCACCACCAUACCCGUUUCUGAAGCAGAAAUGCUGAACGAAACCACCUCACCAUCAUCUUCCUCACCUUCCUCCCCACCAUACUAUAUUCUCUCAUCAGACAACGGACCAUCUGACCCCCAAUCCCCCACUCUAGCUCAACUUCAGGCACGUGCUUUGGCCUCACAACAGCCAUCACAACUUGAACCUGAACCUGGAGUCACCUCUCCACCCCCUGAAUAACAAAAUCCACCUCCAUUUGAUCAACCUCAAACACCAACCCCUGAACAACAAACUAAUCCACCUCCUGAAAUACCCUCACCAUCUAAACAUCAACCAAAUCUACAACCUGGCAAAACAACACGACCUCCAUUUGACAUUCCCCCGCCACCAACCUCUAAUGCCAUCAUCACUCCCACUCACGAUCCCGCUGACACCAAUCCAACAUCACCAUCCUCCCUAGCCUCUAACUCUGAACCAGAAACCGCCUCCCUCACAUUAGACGAAGAAAUAACUUUAUUUGCAGAGUCUUUAGUGGAGAAGAUCAAGUCUCUGUCUGUCAACUCUGACAUUAGUGAUGAUCCUUCUGCAGUGAGAAUCCACUGUAAUAGAGUGAUCAUAUGGAUGACCUCUAAAGCCUUCAGACUGAAAGGCCUCUCUGAACAAAUCCGCAACAACUUCAUCAGAGAUGCUGGAAUAAGACUACAGGCUCGCUUGGCCAGAGAGGCUGAGGAAAAAGCCAGGAAGGAAGCAGAAGAGAAAGCUCGCCUGGAAGAAGAGCAAAGGAUCAUAAAAGCUGAAGAAAAGGUUGCUGCUGAAGCUACUACUGCUGAGGCAUAGGCACAAGUAAAAGUCGAAGCCGAAGAAGCAACACACAUUGCUGCAAAGGAAGCUGCCAAGGCCAAUGCUGAUGCUCUGACUCAGGGGGAGCAAUCUAACUCUGGUUUUUCCCCUCCAGUCUUAAAUACUCUGGAGGUACUGCAAAAGGAACAACAAGUGGUACGAGCAAGGUUGAAUCACCAGGAUUCCGUUAACACCAACAUUCAGAAUCUGCUGACUCAGCUACUCAAAAGGAUGCCUCCACCCCGAAACCCUUAGGCACUUAGGCUUUUUGCUUGUUGCUUUUCUUCUGAUGUUUUUUCUUAUGCUUUCUGAUAUAUGCUUUCAUUGCUGCCUAACUGUACCUGUUUUCUCUUAUAUAUGACUAUCUAUUUCCUGCCUCUAUUUCUGUUUUUUUGAUUCUGACAAAAGGGGGAGAACUAAAACAGCUCUGAUGAAAAUAUAUAUCUAAACCUCUCAAGGCACUGCGAACAUUAAAUAUCUUAAUGACUUAUGAGAACUAAAGUUAUGCAGGAUAAUAGCUAAGUUACAAAACCGACUACCACACAAGGAAGGUCCGGUAAGAACUUUUGUUAAAUCCGAUGAUAUAACUCAGGGGGAGUCCAUUCUCUUUAUCUUAUUCUGAGAUAUUACUUACUGUUUCAUCAUCACUCUGACUUGUUUUUUCAUCAUCAAAAAGGGGGAGAUUCUAAGAACAAAUUUAGUUCUACAAUGUAUCUCUAAUAUUUUGAUGAUAACAAAGGAUGAAACAAAAAUGGUACCCUAACAAUUUUUUUUCUAAGUGUGCAGGACUCUGAUCAAAACAAUCAGAUAGACAAUCAUCAAAUACAGAAUCAAGCGCUAAGAUGCUACUCAGAAGAUACGCAACCAGAAGCUCUGACUCUGAUCAAACGCAAGUGCAAGCUAAACUAAAGAAGUCAGACACUUUGAAGUGGAAGAACGACUCUAGAUCUGAAGACGUACGCUCUGACAUAGUCAAAGUAAAAAAGAAACUCUGAAGACAGUCAGCAACAAGCAUCAUCUGAAGUGGCAAUCAAGACUCUGACGUUAGGAUCCUCUGAUCCAGAAAGCUUAACCGCGAAGAAACUCGCUUAUGGAAAGAAACUAUUUUUAGAAGGAUGUUAUGACGCUCCAAAUAUUGCUUUGGAAAGAACACGGAGAUUAAUGACUUUAAUCAUCCUUCAAUGCUCAAGGUUCUAACAUUAACAUCACUCAACGGUCUGCUCUCUACUCCUAUAUAAAGGACGGAACGCCAUCCAAAGAAUACGUCUGAAAACAAUUCAAACCCCUUUUUCUUGUUUUUCUCUACCUUCACUAUCCAUGUAACCAACCUCCUUACUUGUAAUCUCUGGCAUUUUAUUUGUUUUGAUUUGAAAACUUCUUAUCUUUGGGUUUUGUUCGUACUUUUCCCUUUUCCUUUGGAAACAAUAAAAGCGCGGUGGCGACUCUGGUUUUAUUGACGUUAAGUUUAUCCAUAGCUUAAUGUUCAUGAAUUUACCGCUACAGAUGUGAAUUAAAAUGGCAUAGAGAAUGGUCAAUGGUACCAAGGUCAAGACAAUAUGGACUUAGGAAUGAAUGGUUGACUUUGGUCAACUAGUUGACCAAAAAGUCAACUAUAGGCUAGAAACUAUGGGUUUCUUGUGUAAAAUGGACUUGUGUAGAUGUCUUGUAAUGUAAGCAAGGUUUUGAAUGAAAUGCAACUUGAUUUUGAACUUAAAUGAAACAAUGACUUAUUCAAAUGUUAAGCAAUAUGAAUGAACCUUGCGUAGAUGGACCGACCAUGACGACCUAUAAUGGCUUAAGAAUCUUAAUGGAUCAAAGACAAAUGAAGGACCAAAAGAACAAUGCACUAAUGCUAGCAUGAAUCCAAGAAUCGAUGACCAAUGAUGGAUGAUCUUGACAAUACCAUAUGGAUGGAAGCAAUGACCAUGAAUCAAAACUUAAGAUCUUGAAAGCACCAUAUGAAUGGAUGUCUAAACAAAACCUUGAACCAAAUGAAAUUCUGAGCAAGUGGACAUGUAGGUCAAGUGGGUGAUUCUCAUGUACAAAGCAAGUUUGAUAGUUGAUGAUGCAUGACAAGAUGGUCAAUAACCUCUUCCCAAUGAACUAGGGUUUUAGUCAAUUCCAUGGUCAAAAGUCAAACCACAAUGGCACACAAGACCAAACAUCCAUGAUUAAGGUUUCAUGAUGCACACCCCUUAAUCAAGGUCUUCAAACAAAGUAUGAAACUCCAUAAUCAAUCUCCCAACACAUGGGCUCACAAUUAGGGUUUAGUGGCCAAAUCAACACUGAAGAGAUCAAUCACAAGAUCCCAAAGAAUCAAAGCCAAGAAUUAGGGUUUUCAUGUCAAGAUGAAUGUUAUGAUGAUAUCUCCUUGAAUCAAAGCCCAAAAGGGCAUGAAAUUAGGGUUUCCCCCUAAUGAUUCCAUAUGAUGAGCCAUACCACAUCUCUAUGGCUUGAUCCACAAUAAAACCCUAGCUUUGUUAGCCAUAAACUUUGAAUCUUUGAUGAUUAUCAUGAAUGAGUGAUGCACAUGAAUGAGUACAGAUGAAUCUCAAGUCAAGGGUUAGAUGAAAAAUGAAAAGGGGAUGGUAUAUUUUGGGUAUGACAAGAGGGUAAGAAGAAUAUGACCAAAAGAAAAGAGAAAAUAUUUUUGGAUAUUUUAUUAAUGUGCCCGACAAGAUUUAUAAAUCUUGCUCCUAUGUAUCUCCGGAUGCACUAGAGAACUUAAGGCUUAUGUAGUUCUGGGUAGAAAAUGUUUGUUUGUUGGCCGGUUUUAGCGAAAGCAACUUUGUGUCAAUCAAUGAAAACAUUUUGGCUACCUAAAACAAGUUGAGAAGGGAACGUUUGCAUCACAAUUGAAUGGAUUUACAAAUCAACAUUUGCGGGAAACAUCGCAAGCUUACUCAUACGUUCAAGUGGACGAAACGUUGCUUUUGCGUCGUCUCAAAACAAAAUACCUUUUGUUUGUAAAAAGGGUUUGAGGAUCAAUCGCACGGCGCGAGAAAGUGUUUAAUUGGUUUGAAGUAUUUUUUGGGUGAUGAGAGAGUUCGGAAGGGUGAAAACUACAUCUUGUAUCCCAACUCUCGGGAGCUCCUGGACUACACAUCGUUCCUUUUUAAUCUUAUUUAUGAAAAGAGUUUUGAUUUUUUUAGAUGUUUUGAAGUUUUUAUUGAUAAAAUGCACUCGAUGUUGAUCGAGGUCUAUUUAUGGUUAUGAAGAAGGUUUGAAGUGAUUAGAGGGGUUGAAAAUGAUUUAAAUGUGAAGUGAAAUAAAGUGGAAAUGGUUAAUGGUUUGACUUGAGAAAAAUGGCUCGAUGUUGGAUCGAGCACUUAUUAUUAUUUUUCUUCAAUUUUGAAAGUGGUUGGUUUUAUUCUUUUUUUGGUUAUUUAAAAGGUUAAUUUAACUAAAGGCAAGAAAAUAAAAACAAAUAAACACAAAUUAUAAUCUACAAAGGGAUGGAGAUACACUUGUCAAUCGGGGAAUAUGAUAAAGAAAUUAAAGUACAAGCAAAUAAACAAGUAAGUGCAAGCACGGAAAGAAAAAAAUCUCAUUGUAAGAAGACCCAAGAGUAAGCUAUGAGACCGAAAGUCGUACUCAUUGUAAGAAGUCCCAAAAGUAACCCAAUUGUAUUUAUCUCCAAGCUAACUUAGAGUAGAUUCAUAUGGGAAUCACUCUAUAAGAAGUCGAGCAAUACUCUAUGCGUCUAAAUGAUUUUCGAAAGUUAAAUUGAAUUUUAACUCCGAGAUCACAACACAAUAAAGAUAACGACAACUAAAAUUGCUUUACAUCCCACAUGGACAAAAACAAACUUAAUAAAAGACUACACACACAUUUGAAAUCAACUAAUCAAAAUUUAAUUAACAACAUAGAAUAAAAAUAAAAAAGUAAUCAAAUUAUAAUUUCCUAGAAUCAAAAUUAAAACAAGAAAGAAGCAAACAUAGAAAUGAGGGGUUCCUCAUUGACAUGGGUGUAUUGGCAUGGAAAAAUGCAUGGUUUCAAAUUGGAUAAGCCCAAAUUCUAAAAUUAAAAAAAAAAACAUAAAACAAAAAAAGAAAAAUUAAAAGAAAAUGCAUGCUGGUAAGGGCGGUGCUCUUGUUGGAAAGAAAAGCAUGAAUUUCCAUCUUGUAAAAAAAAACAAAUACACGGCUAAUUAGAUUAUGACACAUGGCGAUGCAAUUAAAAAAAAGCAAAAAAAAAAGAACAAGUACUCUUCAAACAUGUUCAAUCUCUCUCUUGUCUUUCUUCUAAAAGAACUUGCAUUAAAAAAUCCAUUUCUACAUGAUAUUGUUCAUCCAUUUCAACUAUCAGUGCUUAUGCAAAUAAUAAGUUCAAGCAAUCAGAAACAACAUAAAAAUCCAGCGACAUUUACAAUCAAACAAUGCAUUAUUCACCUAUCUCACAUGAAAACAUAUCGAUCAAAAACAUGGAAGAUCCAAAACCUACAAAGUGAGAGUUAUACCUUCUUGCUUGUGACUCGAGUCACAUAUAUUUUCCGGUGAAUAUGGUGAUGCCGAACGGAGCUCGUCGUUGUCGAUGAUGACGUUGUAGUGAUAUAUAGUAUGAAGUACACGGUGUUCUACAAGGUGGUAAAGAUCGUCGAAGAGACAAGGUUAUUGGUGUUCGUAUAGAGUAAGCGACAAUCAUGUUGUGUAGAAGUUUGAGGGUGUGAUGGUUAGGGGUGAGCAGGUUGGAAGUUGAGGUGUUAAGGUUAUGGCAGAUCGAGUUUGUUGUUGUUUGAGAAGUUAUUUAUGGAAGUUUGGAAGUCCAAGGACGGUUGUGGUUGGAUUGAUGUGCGGUUAUAGUGUGUUGGUUCAUUUGUGUUAUGAAGGGAGAUAAAUGGUUGUUUGUGAUGAUUGUCAUGGUAUAAUGGUGUUAAUAAGUAUGUUUAGUAGAGGGUGGAAAAGUGUUAUUCACAUGGUGAUGAUUUGUGAUUUUCCAGAGUAAGGACGGUGAAUCACGGAUGGAGAAGAUGCAUAGUGUUUGCAAGGUUGAUGGAGGUAUAUGUUAAGGAAGAAGGUGAGGUGCAUGGAAUAGUUGGUUUGUGUGGUUAGAAGUGUGAGAGACCAUGAACAAUAUGUGCUUCAAGAAAAUUUGUUGAAUACCAUUGAAUGCGACGCCUGUGUUUGGAUCGGUCGAGGUUUUUGUGUGGUCACUGUAAAUAGAGUUUUAAUGGUGGGGUUUUGUAUGUUGUAGUGUAUAACAAGUGGUUAUUGAAGUUGUAUGAUCAAAAGUGAAGAGGUUAAUGUUGUAAAGGUGGUUUAUGCAGGAAAAAAAUGUGAGGAUGAGGUUCUGUGUGAGUUGUGAUGAAGAUUUGGAGCUAAGGUGGAAAGAAGAGAGGAAAGGGUGAAGAAUACGCGGUUUUCCUAAGCAAUGAAGAACAAGAAAAAUCUCUCGACCCAACAUCAAAUUUUGGUCCCCCCCCCCCCNCCCCCCCCCUGUUAAUGUUGCUUUCUCUCCCACCUACUCAAUAAUUGUCAACAACUAUAAGGGCUGUUUUGAAAUUUUGAGGAAAAAAUGGCCAAUGAGAAGCAACCAUGUCAUAUGUGAGAGAGGAUAAUUCAAAAUUUUCAAGAUUCCCCAAAAUCUAGGGCUAGCUGGCAGAAGACAAUGGAGAGAUAUUUUUAUAUUUCCUUUAUUUAUUAUUAUUUUGAAUUAUAAAAAAUGAAAUUUGAUAAUUAAAUUAAAAAUAAACAGCACAAAAUGAAAUUAAACUAAAAACAUGGUUAAUUCUAAUUAAUCGUCCUGAUUAUUUUGGCAAGAAAACAAAAAUAAAUGGAUAGAAAAUGAACAAAAAAUCAAACGUAAAAGUGCCCUAAAAAUUAAACUGAAUGCACAAAAAUGAUCAGCACAAAAUAUACUUCUAAAAAACAUACAGGUUUUGAUCAGAUUUUGAAGUGAAAAAAUGGUUGGUUAAAAACCUCAGGCGGAUCAAAAUGUGACCGAAAAAGUAGUCGAAAAAAUAAAAUGAGCAUACCAGGUUAAACUACGUGAAACAUAGAUUAAUAAAACUGAUGUCUGCAAGCUCGAUUUUGAAAUUUUACGUCUCCUAAUUUGACACACAUUUGAAAAUUGAUUCAACCAAUUUGUCUAUAGAUCCGAAAAUUUAUUUUGGCUGACAUUCUAGGCAUUAUGUGGCGUGAAAUGUAUGUUAUGAUAUGCAAAGAUGCAAAAGAUAUGAUAUAUGUAUUGAUUCGACGAUUCAGGGUCAAAAUUGGGGUGUGACAGGGUACACCUGUCACUUGGCUAGAAGAACUAGAAACACAUGUAUGAGAUGUGGAUAGUGUUCUCGUAGAGUCUGAAAUCCCUAAGAAAUGUAGACUCCAUAUUGACCCAUCAAAUCACUUUGUGGUUGGACAAAUCUUUCACUCCUUGAUUCUUUGAAGAAGAUUCUUCGAAGGGAGACUUGUUUGAAGAAGGAUUUCCGUAGCGGAAACUCCUUGUUGGAGCCAUGGUCAUGAUAAUGGUGGCAAAAAAGUAGAAACUCACACAAUAAGAGAAAAGAGAAAGAAGAAUAAAUAUGUAAGAGAAAUGAUGAAUGAGUACCUUUAUAUAGCGUGAUUUCUGAGUUUAUUUCUGAGAGAAGAUCCAUAAAAUCAAUGGAGAUUUGGCCCAUAAAAGAUAAAUUUAGAAAAAAAAAAUCAAAAUAAGUUCUCUAAUCAAUUAUAAUUCAAGAUUAAUCGUUUAGAUCUUCUAAAAGAUUGAGAUUUGGCGUGUUCCUUAACUAUGAGCUAAAUUUCUUGAGUUUUGGAAAAGAUUCAUUAUGAUCUCACCUGAAUAUCUGAAGUAGAAAUAAGUUGUAAUUGAUUAUCCCUCAGGUAUAGUCGAUUAUCAAGAUACUUUCACCAUUUCUUUCUUCUUUUGGGCAUGAGGUUGGACUUGAUUGAUUGCUUUUUGGCACCCUUAUACUUCAUAAAUGCACCCUUGGGCUUAGAUAUUUCAAUUUUCCCCAUGCAAUCUUCCUAAAGGCAUAAAUAAUUCGAACCAAAUAGUAUGUUAGCGAUAAAAUAAUAUGUUAUCAUAAAAGACCAUUUUCUAGAUAAUCUUCUCAGAUUUUUCUGAUUUAAUUUCUAUUAAGUGUUUUACCUCCAAAAUCUCAAGAUAUCUUGAGAUAACUCCCCCUCAAGAGGAAAACAAAAAAUCAACUAUCAACAUCCAUCUAUAUGGAUUGGUUGAUACGAGAGUUGGCUAAAACAUCCUCAAGAGUGACACGAUCAACAAAAGAGACCAGGUUUUCACCUUAUGUACCCAAAUCUUUAAGGAUUAUGGUGUCUUAGUCACUUUAAUAGGUCUGGAAGUAUUCCCUCAAUAUAGUCCCCUUUAUCGUAGGUGGCUUAAGACACAUAUGUUCUUCUUCCUUUUGUGAUUCUUCAUAAGAGUCCUCAAAAGUAUUGUGAGGUAUAUUCUUGAAAAUAUCUUUGCAUGAAUAUCUUGAUGUUUCCUCCAUUAAUUCAUCAUUCAUUUCUACCUCUUCUUUACAUGAGACUUGAUAUGAGGGAUCUUUAAAAAUUCUUCUUGAACGUGAUUCUUCAGAAGUUUUAGAUGUUUGUUCUUCGAAUGUUCUUCUUGAUGGGUCUUUUUAUCAUUUCUACUUUCAAAGAUUUUUCUCGUUGGAACUUCUUCAAAUAUUCUACUGAAUGAAGCUUCUUUAAUGUCUCUUCUAGAUGUAGCUUAUUCAUCAAAUCCAUCGGAUGAUGACUCUUUAGGUGAUGGUUCAUCUACUGAGAUUGUUUGUUAGAAGGAAACUACCGGGGUCGAUUCAAAUUACUCUCUUGAUGAAUAUGAUUCUAACAUUCUUGAGUUUACUCAUUUAUCUUUCAAAUGGUGGAUAAAUUCAUUGAAUUUCUUGAUUAUCUCCUCCUUUCUAGAUUCUUCGUGAAACUCAAUAAAGGCAUGACUAUCAUUUGAAUUGAGGAUUGGAUCAGAUCUAUAAUUACAACUCAUAAUUCUUAUAUAGUUGUUGGAUACAAAAAUUCUAAUAUAACCUCCAUGGGUUCCAAUUAUUGAGUAUAAUCUAUGAGAGUGACUCUCAUAUUCAUUUGGCAUUCCAAAUUCAUAGAUUUUGGUGCUUGUUCUCUCUUGCUCGGUCUUUGGAGAAACUCCAUGAAUUAUUUCAAAAGUUUCUCACACUUCCUUGGCGGAAUCACAAUUAAAGACGUAACAAAAUUCCUUAGAGUUUAAAGCACUUAUAAAAAGACGUUUGACUUUAAAACCAAGUUUCACUUUUCUCUUAUCUUCCUUGGUCCAAUGAAAAUCAAGUUUACUUACUACUCUAUAAUUAAAGGAGAAAGUAAGAAUAAACUUACCAUUGAUUAAAACAUCCCACAUUUAAAAAUCAUUUUGCUUAAUAAACAAAUUCAAAUCUCUCCUCGAGCGACAACAUUUGCAAAAGGAUCUAGUCUAAGUGAGGUUACAUACUAACUCUUAUGAAGUAUUCACCUCGGGAGUCUAUACUACUCAACCAUCGUCCUUGUAGCGGGAAAUUCAUGAUCAUCAAGCUAUUGACAAGCUAGAGAUCAAUUAACAAGAGUCGCCACCGCGCUUUUAUUGUUUCCAAGGGAAAAGGGAAAAAGUACGAACAAAACCCAAAUAGUAAAAAAUUCAUGAUCAUCAAGCUAUUGACAAGCUAGAGAUCAAUUAACAAGAGUCGCCACCGCGCUUUUAUUGUUUCCAAGGGAAAAGGGAAAAAGUACGAACAAAACCCAAAUAGUAAGAAGUUUUUAAUUAAAAACUAAUAAAAGUCAGAGAUCACAAGUAAGGGGGUUGGUUACACAGAGGGAAGGUGUUAGCACCCAAAAUGUCCUAGGUACUCCUAGGGAGCCCUUUUUGUGUGCAUAUGUAUUUUGUACGAAGUGAUGUUUACAAACAAAUAGAAUGGAGGGAUGAGAAAAGAAUUCAUUAAUUAUAUUUUUGUGUUUGGCAAGACCUUCGGCCUUGUGCCUACGUACCAACAUAUAAAUGAGGGAUCAAAACCUCGUAGUUCGUGCUAUAAAUUUCAAAAUGAGUGUGUUGGUUUUAACAAAAUUUAAGUUUGAAAGGUACAAAGGCCUAAAAAUGGUUUGAAUGAGUUAGUUCUUUUUGUCUUUUUGAAAGUUUAAGUCAAGUAUAAUUAAGCUUAUUUAUAAAUUUGAUUUAAGAAAAUAAGUUUGAAAAUACAAUGGCAUAAGGCCAAGGUUUCUAUCUUUUUGCAAAAGUGGUCAAAGUUUAGAACAAAAGUAGUUCAGACAAAGAAGGUUUUGAAAAUGGAGUGAGAGAUUUUGAAAUUAAAGAAAUAGGGAGAAGAUGAAGAGACUACCCUAUGCACAAAAAUUUAAAAGUUUAAAGUUGAAAAUAUCUGACCAAAUGGGUAGCAAUCCAAUAGACAAGAAUGUCAAUAGAAACCCAGAGUUUCCUUGGACUUUUAGAAUCAAGCAACACACAAAUGCACAAUUAGAUCAAUCUUGAAGAGCAAAGGCAUCAAAUAAAGAUGGCCUCAUCCAAGCUUAUCCACUUCAUGAUCUUCUUCAAAAUAGCCCAUGUAGCAGAUGAAUUUCACAAGUCACAGGUUCAACAUAAGAGCUUAACAAUGAUGAAUGUUGCAGAUGAACUGGAGACAUCUUGAAUGAUGUAUAAGAUGAAUUUCAAAUUGCAAGCACUUGGUUCUUCAACAAAUUAUCAUUGGCCAAGUCCAUUAGCAAAGGAAUGUUUCCUAAGUUCUAAGUCCAAUUGGGCAAGAUCAAACCAACAGUCCACUCAAAAGUCUUUUAGGGUUUUUGUUGUUAUUAUGUACAUUAAUGGUCAAAGACCACACAAACAAGCAAAGUAUAUACACAAACAAAAUAUAUCAUACAAUAUGGUCCAAGUGGACAAAGUGAAAAUUACAUUAACAUAAAUAAUUAGAAUGAUAUGUAUAAUGGCAAAUGAUAUAAAGUGCUAAAAGUAAAUUGCAUUAAAGUAAAAGCUUGAAAGUAAAAGUUAAUAGUUAGUAAGUUAGUGGUUAGUUUUGUUUUGCUUUUGAUUUCAAGACAUUCUUUGGAGAACACUUAACCCACUUGCCACAAGCAUGAAUCCUUGAACCAAAACAUCUUCCAAAGGAAGGAAAGAAGGCCAAGUUUCCACACAAUACCAUGGAAGAGGGGAGACUUACAAUCUCACUAACUAGAAUGCUUAUGAACCCACUUGCCACAAGCAUGAAUCCUUGAACCAAAACAUCUUCCAAAGGAAGGAAAGAAGGCCAAGUUUCCACACAAUACCAUGGAAGAGGGGAGACUUACAAUCUCACUAACUAGAAUGCUUAUGCCUUUGAUGUCACAAAUUUAGCACUACGUUAAGCAAUCAUAAUUGGACUUAUGUAGAAGUCACAACUAUUUGAGGUCGGACAAUAGACUUUUGGUGUUAAUGCAUGUUGGAGACAUAGUAUUAUGAACUAUGCUCAUUAAACAUACCACACACAAAAAAAUGCAAAAGGUGUGGCUUAAUCUCAUCCAUACUCAUGUUAAUCUUUCAAUCAACUAGCAUUAGGACUUUGAGAUGUCAUUGGCCCAAAUGGAAAUGAAUGGAUGAAGAAGGGGAAUUAGAUGAAGAGGGAAGGGGAUGAAUGAGAUCACAAAUUGGUCAAAGGAGGAGUUUUACCAAAUUAAUAUCAUUAAUUCAUUUUGGGAGAUGGAAUGUACAUUCCAUCAAUCCCCUAAAUCCAAUGAUAUUAACUUGACAAAGUCAAAUCAACCUUGACCAAGACCCAACAACAAACAAUCAAACUCAAUUAAGUCAAUACAAAUGGUCAACACAAUUAAAAUGGCAUUUAAUCAAUUAAAAAUAAUAAAAUAAUGCAUUAAAUUCAAAUAUGUUUUGUCCAAAUCCUAAAAUCUCAUCAAAACACCAAAGAAAUGGCCAUGAGAUUUAUCAGAGGUCAAACAAGGUCAAAUGAACUUGGAGAAAAAAAUUCAUAAUUUUUGGACACUUAAAAAUAUUUUUAAAGAAAAAACAUCACUGAGCACGAAUAUGACCUCCAAUUCCUCCAAUUCCAAAUAUAUUAAGAGAUAUUUGGAAUUGAAAAAUUAGGUUCAUGAUCUGAGUUGCUUAGAUUUGGCCUCAAAGCAACUCAAUCUUCUUGCCUACAUUGGUAGGACUUAAGACAACUCAAGAAUCAAUGGAAUUGAGCAAUAAAUUGAGAGAAUCGAAGAGUUUAAAUUUUUUGCAAAUUACCUUCAAUGGAGGUCCGAACUUGAUAGAUCUCGAUCUGAAUUGUGCUUGGCUUCACUUCACUUGCUUGCAGGAGAGGAAUGGAAAAAUUUAGAAGCAAUGAACUCUUGGAGAAUUGAAUUCCAAAACAGUAGAGAUUCAAGCUCAAAUUCAAAUGAAUUUAUUAGGGUUAUCCUAUGAGAGUGAAGGGUUUUCAAUGGAGAUUCAAAGCUGGCGCAAUGUGUGUGUGAUUUCUGAGCAAAUGCAGCUGUAUAUAUAGCCAAAUCCAUGUGAUAUUUGCACACUCUUUUCAACCUUCCAAAUUUGGCAAAUGAUGAUAGCAUGGUGCAUGGGCGCGCAUAGGCCCAUGAAAUGAUAGCUCGAAGUCCAAAAUGAAUUAUCAGAUGUGUUGAAGCAAGCUUGGAAUGCAAGGCAAUUGUGCAUUGAUGUUUGAAGUUGGAUCCAUGCCAAAUGAUAUCAGUCUGGUUAAGCCAUGCGCAGCAGCCUAUGCAUUUCUCAUCCAAAAUGAAUGAAUUUGAGCUCUUUCGAAAGGUGAAAUCAAGAGGAACAAGUUUGAUGUUGAACACUUUUUCAUUUGGAGCUUGGAACUUGGAGCAAUUUGAGGUGGAAGUUUGGAAAAAUUUGACAUAUAAAUUUUUUUCUAAGUGUCAAGCCAUAUGUCUCAAUAUUCCACCUUGCUUAACUUUUUAUGGGAGCUUCAAAUGAGAAACGUGUCUUUAUCAAAGUUGUAUCUCUCUCAAAGACCUUAAAAAUGGUUACAAAUUUCAUGUAAUUUGGAUUUGAAAUGAUAGAGUUAUGCAUUUUUGAAGUUUGGAAAAAUCACUUGAUCAAUGGUAUAGGUCAAAAGUGACCUAUAAUGUAGCCUCAUAUCACAUGUUCAAAGAGGUUGAAUUAGCUCACACUCCAAACAUAAAAAUUGAAGUAGACACAUUGAAUUUUAUUGUGUAACUUGGAAAUAUUUCAUCUCAUAAAAAUUGAUCAAGUUAUGGCAUUGGGAAGUUGACUUUCAAAUUAGGGUUUAGACAAAAUGACCUAUAAUAUUUCAACAUAGAAAAUGUUUUUCCAAGAAAAACUAGCUCUAGGUCGCAACGUGAAAGUUGUUUAGAAUGACAUUUAGAGUAAGUUGUAUCUUGGAAUCAUUUUCAUAUGGUGAAAAUUGUAGGAGAUAGGGUCUAGGGAGACCCAGUUUUGAUCAGAUGAAUUCAUCUGGCCAACCACCAUCAACCAACUUGCUAAUUUCCAAUUAUCUUGAUUUCUGGCUCAUGGUAGAUCAUAUAUGCAUAAGAAUGAUGAAAUUUGAAGUGUCCCUUGAGAAAAUUAGCUUGUUGGAGAAGUUACUCAAGAUACCUAGUCAAACUAGGGUUUCCAAGGCAAAUCACCCUCAAACUCUUGAAGAAAACUUGAUCAAUAUAAUAUGUAGAUAUCAUUGGGACUCAUAUAUGAUGAUCAUAACCAUUCUUGAAUCAAUUCUUGGUUGUGCUCUUUGUUCAUGAGGGUCUUAAACCCUAGAUGUGAUCUUGAUGAAUCAAUGGGAUCAUGUCCUACCUACAAAAGAGUUAGACAACUACAAAGAUAUAUUUUUGGUAUUUUGGUUAGUGAAAUGAUAAAGUACAAGUAUGAUAUAAUCACAAAGUGCUUGGUGAUCUCUCCCAAAACAAACCCAAUGAAGAGGGGUAAGGAAGAUGCCAAUAUAUGAUCUCAAUGCUAAUGCUUAUGAUGGAAAUGCAUGCGGGAUCUUAGGGUCAAAAUUGGGGUCUUAAACUAUCUUAUGUUUUUCACUCUAGACUCAGGUAUAAAGUCUUUCCCACAUGGUUUGCAAUCACAAUAUCCAAGUGUCGCAACAUAAUGGAACGAAUACAACAAUUAUAUCAAUAUGACAAUAAAGAUAACAAAAACGAUAAAGAAAAGCCACACAAGUAAACAAAAAAAGGCACACAAACGACCUAAUUAGGAUUGACUCACUAAGGGAAACCGUUGUCCCCAGCAAAGUCGCCAUCUGCCGUACCUCGUAAAAAUGAGAACACGACCUAGCGAAGCGCAAUUGCACGCUUGCAAUGAUGGACUGAACAUAGUCGCCACCAAACUUUAUUUAUUCCUAAAAAGGGAAGUGUAAAUAUCGAUAAAACCCAAGAAAUAACGACAAUGAUUAUGAUCGUCGCAACCAAUAUCAGGGUUCAUGAGUCGAUUACCCGAGGGGAAGGUAUUAGCACCCCUCACAUCUGUUGUACUUGUAGCGGUAAAUUCAUGACCAUCAAGCUAUGGAUAAGCUUAACGUCAAUAAAAUCAGAGUCGCCACCGCGCUUUUAUUGUUUCCAAAGGAAAAGGGAAAAGCACGAAAAAAAACCAAAGAUAAGAAGUUUUCAAAUCAAAACUAAUGAAAUGCCAGAGAUUACAGGUAAGGGGGUUGGUUACACAGAGGGAACGUGUUAGCACCCAAAGUGUCCUAGGUACUCCUAGGGAGCCCUUUUUAUGUGUGUAGGUGUUUUUUGUAUAAAAGAUGUUUGAGAAAGACAAAGUGUAGGGAUGGGAAAAGAAUUCAUUAAUUAUAUUUUUGUGUUUGACAAGACCUUCAGACUUGUGCCUAUGUACCAACAUAAAAAUGAGGGAUCAAAACCUCAUAGUUCGUGGUAACAAUUUCAAAAUGAGUGAGUUGCUUUUAAUCAAAAUUUAAGUUAAAAGAGACACAAAGGGCCCACAAGUUUGAACGGGUGUUAGUUCUUUUUGUCUUUUGAAAUUUUAAGUCAAUAUGAUUAGAUUUAUUUACAAGUUUGAUAUAAGAAAAGUGUUUGAAAAUUCAAUGGCAUAACGCCAAAGUUUCUAAUUGAAAUAAGGUCAAAGUUUGAAAUCACAAACAAAGAAGGUUUUUUGAAAAAGGGGGAGAGAUUUUGAAAUUUAAGAAGUGGGAGGAGAUGAAGAGACUAAUCCUAAGCAUAAAAUUAAAAGUUAAGAGUUGAAAAGAUCUGACCAAUGAGAUGCAAUCCAACAGACAAUUUGAAAUUUAAGAAGUGGGAGGAGAUGAAGAGACUAAUCCUAAGCAUAAAAUUAAAAGUUAAGAGUUGAAAAGAUCUGACCAAUGAGAUGCAAUCCAACAGACAAGAAUGUCAUAUAGAAAACCCACUUUCCCUUUGGAAUUUGAAUCAGGAAAUAAUUAGCAAGCAAUUAGCAAUAUCAGACAUCAUGAAGAUCAAGGCAUCAAACAAAGAUAGCCAUAUCCAAGCAAGCAACUCCAUAGCUAGCAGUCUUCUUUGUCUUCUCAUGUAUUAGAUGAAAUACUCCUUGAUUAAUUCAGAAUAAUGCAUCAGACACAAGAUCAAAAUAACAGUUGGCAUCAAGACAAUGUAGCAGAUGAGUUCAAGUAGAUCCCAAUACUUGCAUCAGAUGAAGGCUCAAAUCACAAUAAUUUGGUCUCAAAAUGUUGGCAUUGGCCAAGUCCUUUUACAUAUGGAAUGUUGCCUAAUCCUAAGUCCAAAAGUUCAGAUCAAGCCCAACAGUCCACCAAACAUUUUUUAGAGUUUUUGUUGUUUAUUAGAUAUUUUAACGUCCUAAGACCAUAAACACAAACAAAAUACACAAACAAAUAUAUACAAACACAAUAUAUGGCUCAAAUGAGCAAAGUGAAAAUGGCAUAAACAUAAACAAGUUAAAUGAUAUGUAAAUGGCAAUGAAUGAUAAAUGACUUGGAAUUAAAUUGCAUAAAGUAAAUGACUUGAAAGUAAAGCAAUAUUAAUAAGAGUUAGUCAAAUGUUAGUCAAAGUUAAUUAAAUGUUAGUAGUGUUUUACUUUUCAAUUGAUUAAGUCAUUCUUUGGAGAACACUCAACCAUCUAUUCACAAGCAUGGAUCCUUGAACCAAGACAUCUUCCAAUAGAAGGAAAAAAGGCCAAGUUUCCAUACAAUACCAUGAAAGAUGAGAGACUUACAAUCUCACUUACUAGAAUGCUAUGCCUUUAGGGUCAAAAUUUAACUCUAUGUUAAGUAAUCGUAAUUGGACUUAUGUAGAAGUCACAACUAUCUGAGGUCGGACAAUAAAAAUUUAGGUGCUAAUGCAUGUUAGAGAUUUGGUAUAAUGAACCAAACUCCUAAAACGUACCACACACUAAAAAAAAAGAUCACAAGGGAUGAACCUAUCUCAUCCAUACUUGUAUUGGUUCAUCUGACACACGAUCAUUGAUGAACCAAUUAGCCUUAUGAUAUUGAGAUUUUGUUGGUCAAUGGAAAGGAUGGGAAAGAAUGGGAAUGAAGAUAAAGAGGAAGGGGAAAUGAGAGAAACACAAAUUGGUCAUGGGAGGAAUUUCAUCAAAUUAAAAUCAUUCAUUCAUUUUGGGAGAUGAAAUAUACAUUUCAUCAAUCCCCUAAAUCCAAUGAUUUUAAUCCAAUAAAAGUCAAAUCAACCUUGACUAAGGCCCAAACAAAUAGUCAAACAUCACAAGAUCAUAAAAGUGGCUCAACAUAAUUUUUACACAAUUAAUCAAUUAAAAAUCAAAUUAAAAAUGCAUUAAAAUUCAAAUUAAUUUGGUCAAAACCUAAAAUCUCUUCAAAACACCAAAUAAAUGGCCAAUAUAUUUAUCCUAGGUCAAACAAAGUCAAAGGACCUUAGACAAAACAUUUCAUGAUUUUUGAAAAGUCAGAAGUAUUUUUAAAUAAUUAAAAAUUGCACAAAAACAUUUAAUUCAUGAAAAAUAUCAAAAGUAAUCCAAAAAAUAAUUUUAAUUCAGAAAAUGAAAGAAAAAAUAUUUAAAGAUUUUUGGUGAAAGUCCCAUAUUUUUUGGAUUAAAAAGAAAAUUAAUAUGAAUUAAACAAGAUAAAGCAAUCAAAUGAAAAAUCAGAAAAUACAAAAAAACAAGGGCCAUCAGAUCUCCCUCAUUAAUUGAGGUGUCAGAUCUGAAGGCCAAGCACGCGCUAUCCAUGGUGGACUCAAGUCAAAGCGCCACACGCAUGGUAAUCAAAACCAAUGGCCAAGAUUAGAACGCUGGACCAAGAUCAUAUGGUUGGAACCUUGCCAACACACCACCGAAGCCCUAGCUCCGGUCAUCUUCUCCAGUGAGGACCACCAGACUGGUCCAACCAAAAUUCAUGAAAAAUGAAAAAUGAAAAAUGAGUACACUAAUUUAAAGAGAAAAUGCUCAGGAGCACGAAUCUGACCUUCAUUUCUUCCAAUUCCAAGUAUAUUGAAAGAUAUAUGGAUUUGAAAUUUGAGGUUCAUGAUCUGAGUUGCUUCAAUUUGACCUCAAAUUAACUCAAUCUUGUUGCCUACAUUGGUAGGACUUCAGCAAACCAAAAAUCACAAAGAAUAGUGGAGAAUUAAGCGAGAAUCGAAGAGAUGAAGUUUCUGAAUUUUCACCUUCGAGUUGCUUCCAAUUUGCUUGAUCUUGAUCUGGAUUUUCUUGAUCCCUCUUCCUAUUUCUUGAAGUGGUUAAUUGAGAUGAAAAGGGAAAUAAAUUCUUGGAGUUUGAAUUUCAAAGCAGAAGGUGAAAUUCAAACUCGAUUUCAAUUGAAAUCUUCAAGAAUUCUAUGAACUUUCCUCUUGGCACGUGCAUUUGUAAGUUGAAUUUGAACUUUCUACAAACAUCAAAGUUGAAGAGCACAUCUUGAAUUUGAUCAUGGAAUUUGAAUAACUUUCAUCUCACAAAAAAUGAGCAAGUUAUGGUCUUGGGAAGUUGACCUCCUAACUAGGGUUCAGACAAAAUGACCUAUAAUAUUUCACCAUAAAAAUGACUUUACAUGCAAAACUAGCUCUAGACUUAAACAUGAAAGUUAUUUGUAAUGUCAUUAUGAGUAACGUUUCUCUUAGAAUCAUUUUCAUAUUACAAAAAUUGUAGGAGAUAGAGUCUAGGGAACCCCAAUUUUGACCGGUUGACUUUCUCUGGUCAACCACCAUGAACCAUCUUGCUAGAUUGACAUUCUCUUGAUUUUUGGGACUCAUGGAGGAUCAUAUAUGUGUAAGAUGAUGUAAUAUGAAGAAUACCUUGAAAUAUUUGAUCAAAUGAUGAACAAACUUGCUGAAGAAGUCACACAAGAUACCCAGAUAAAUUAGGGUUUCCAAGGCCAAUAAGCUUCAAACUCUUGAUGAUUUCUUGAUCAAAAUGAUAUGUGAAGACCAUGGGGAUCCAUAUAUGAUGUCUAGAGUCAAUGUGAGCCAUCUCUUGAUUAGUCUCCUUGCAUUGAGGGUCUCAAACCCUAGAUAUGAGCUUAAUGGAGUGAUCGGCCACCAUUUUCAUUAUGUUUUUGUUGCUUAUCCGACAAGAAACCAAGGAUUUUUAGACACUGUGUACACAUUAUGGUACCUUUACAGUUAAUUUUCAUUCCUGUAAGUUAUUUAAGCAAUUUUAUUAAUUGUCAGUUUUAUUUUAUGUUUUCGCGAUUUUACGCUUCGGUUGUCGUGUUUAUGCCCUUCAGGUCCACGGAGAAUAUCCAAUGGACUCAAUACGAGAAAGUGGAAAGUUAUGGAGUUCGAAAAAAGAAUAUUUCCCAGUUCAGGAGGCCUGACACGGCCACCCGUGUCACCUGACCCGGGCCGUGUCAGGAGGAAGGCCAAGAAAGUACAAGAAAUGCCCAAAACAGUGGCCUGACACGGUCGCCCGUGUUAGCCUGACAUGGCCGUGUCAGGUCACCUAGGGAGUGUCAACUAGGGAAUAACAAGGCAGAGAGCUUACACGGCCGUCCGUGUCAGCCCAAAACGCUAAUUUUCCAGUUUUUGGGCUUUUUUCACCGGGCUUGAGUUGCAGGGACAUUUUGGAGAUUUCCACCUUUUGCCAAGAGAUUUUCGCUAUAUUAGGAGAGUUUAUACAAGAGCAAAGAUCAUCUAGGAACGAGGCGAACACAUAAUUGUCAAGCAAUCAAGUAUUGCAGAGAGCAAGGAAUUCGGAGGGAGGAAGGUUUUCAUGAGCAGAAGCGAUUGAAGAUCGAAGUCAUCCAAUUACUUGUAAUGUGUAUUCUUUAUCUUGAAUUUGUUUUGAAAAAUAUGAGUAGUUAAACCCCCCAAUGCUAGGGGGUGUCCCUGAUUUAGAAUUGUAAUGACUUUGAGUUUACAAUUGCAUUUAUAAUUUUAUUCUUACGGUAACCUUUUGAUAUGUUUAAUGCUUUCUCUUUAGGACCAAUCGAGAUUGUUUUAUUGUUAUCAAUUAGGCUGGGCCGCCAUUGUAAGGUUUUCAUAAGGUUACUCUGCAGUAGAUAUCACCUAGGACUAGGGAUACCAUGUGUGAAUCAGAGCAUUCUUGAUAUAAUAAAGCUUAACUUCACCCCAAUUGCCUAUGGACAUAGAAAUUAGGGUAAAAUGAUUAAGGGUUUUCUCACCAAGGACUUGGGAGAAAAGACCCUUGAGAACUGGUAGUAAUUGAUAUUUGUUGAUGCAAUAGUGACUCAGUGUUGUUAUAGGGAUAAAACAUACACCUUCUCUGGCAUUGUUCCUCAUACCUUGCAAACCCUUAAUUUUAUUAUUAUUUUAUGUUGCCUUUAUUUUUAUAAUUUUGAAUUUAAAAAUCCCAAUUAUAAUGAUGGUCAUACUGAUGAAGUAAAGAAGUUAAGAAUGUUCCCGUUCACUUUAUGUGAAGAGGCGGAAGAGUGGUUCUACUCUCUUCCAGCUGGCAGUAUUACAUCAUGGGAAGAGAUGGAAAUAACUUUCUUAAAUGAGUAUUUUCCCGCAUCAGUAUUUCUGAGAAAAAGAUAUGAAAUCUUGAACUUCAAACAGAAAUAUGGUGAGUCUUUGGGAGAUACCUACAAAGAUUCAAAAGGGUCCUGGUAGCAUGCCCAACUCAUAAUAUGGAUCAAACUGAACAAAUGCAAAUGUUUGUCAAUGGGCUGAAAAUAAAGACAAAACAGUUAAUUGAUACAGCAGCCAGUGGCUCAACAAAUUUCUCAACAGUCGUCGGUAUUAAAAGGAUCAUUGAAGCGAUAACCGCAAAUGAGCAUCUGGAAUUAUAUGAUAGGUGUACAAGCAAACCUGAAAGAGUCAUUGACCUGAAAGUAGAAGCAAAUAAAAUCCAUUUGGAAGAUACAGUCGCUGCUGAAGUAGAGAAGAAAUUGAAAGCAAUGAAUAUAGGUACUCAACAGGUAGCUCAAAUUCAACCUGCUCAGACCAUCACGUGUGAAAUCUAUAAUGAACCUCACCAUACUGUGUAUUUCUUUGCAACUCCUCAACAAAUUGAAGAGAUAAAGUUCUUAAAGCAAAAUAAUCCCUACUCCAACACUUACAAUCCAGGUUGGAAAAAUCAUCCAAACUUCUCAUGGAAUGAUCAGAGAGGGAAUGUUCCACAACAAGGUCAAGGUCAAUAUCAGACUCAAUAUCAACAACAACAAGCUCCAAAGAAAGCAUAUUGGGAGAUUGCCAUUGAAAAUAUGACUGCUCAAUGUCUGCAAUUCCAAGAAGAGACUAGAAACAAUUAUAAAAACAACACUGCGUCUAUAAAGAAUCUUGAAGUUCAGCUGGGUCAGAUAGCACAACAACUAGCAAAUUCUCGAACACCAGGUUCCUUACCAAGUGAAACAGUUCAAAAUCCAAGAAAUCAGGAGAAUAUUAGUAUUGUCACGACGAAAAAGAAAAAGACCGCUAAAAAGGAAAAAGUUAUACCACAUGGCAAGCCAACUGAAGAGGAAAUUAAAAAGGAGACUAAACCGGUGAUUAAGUUCCCCUAUCCUCAGAGAGUGACAAAGAAGGAACCAAGCGAGUCAGACUUUGAGAAAUUCAUGACAAUGUUUAAAAAGGUAGAUGGUCAUAUGUCUUUCUUUGAAGCACUCGAGAGAAUGCCCAUGUACAAGAAAUUCAUGAAAGAGGUAAUGGCCGAAUAGAAACCAACAGCAGAAGAACUGGUAGCCUGGAAGGAAAAGUAUAGUGCAAAUUCACUAGAGCAGAAAAUUCCAAACAAACAGAAGGAUCCUGGAACGGUAACAAUACCAUGCACAAUUAAAGGAAGAACCUUCAAAAGGGCACUAAUAGAUUCUGGAGCUAGUGUGAGUUUGAUCCAAUUAUAAAUCUAUCACAGGUUGGGUAUUAAAAAUGUCAGUGAUACAAAGACAAAUCUGAAGUUUGUGGAUCACUCGAGAAAGGAUGCAUAUGGUAUAGCAGAAGACGUACUGGUGACAAUAGAGGACUUGAGUUUUCCGGUUGAUUUUGUAAUCCUAUACAUACCUGAAGAUGAUGAUGUUGGUGUAAGCCCUAGAGGCCAAUACUUUUGGUACUUGUAUCGAAUUAUUUAUUAAUAACAAAAGGCUUUUUCUUUAUUAUGUUUGUUUAAUAAAGUCCCUAGAAUAUCUAGUCCGUUUAAUGUAUCAAGUGUGACUUGAUCAUGAGAUCACAUUAAACAUAAGGACACUAUUCUUAAAGUAUCUGUAGUUGAGCUUUAUUGUGAAGUGGGAUAACAUUAAAGCAUAAAGACUAUUAUGUAUAUAGACUGAUGAUCACAUCUCAUGGGUCAUGGAUAAGGAGUUAUCAAGUCUUAAACAUAGGUAUGAAUAUUAAGAGUAAUAUUUAUACUGGAUUGACCCGCUAUGAGAAUACAGAUGAUCACAUCUCAUGGGUCAUGGAUAAGGAGUUAUCAAGUCUUAAACAUAGGUAUGAAUAUUAAGAGUAAUAUUUAUACUGGAUUGACCCGCUAUGAGAAUACUAUAUAGAAUGUUAUGCAACGUGUCAUAAGUUAUUCUCAUGGUGUAUACCACCCUUCGACCUGAAACCACUAUGGAUCCUAGAUGUAGAGUCGAGUGCUUUAUUGUUGAUCAAACGUUGUCCGUAAUUGGAUAACCAUAAAGACAGUUGAUGGGUACUCCGCGAAGCAUGCUGAGGGACAUGAGUGACCUAGAUGGAAUUUGCCCAUCCUACAUAACAGGAUAAAUGUCUAUGGGCCCAAUAUUGAACUGGACAAGGAUGACACGGUCUAUUCCUUGUGUUCAAUAUAGACAUAAGGGCAAAAGGGUAAUUUUACACAUAAGUAUUAUCACAGAAGGAUUUGUCAGAUCACAUGACAUUUUCGUGUCUUGGGUAGAAGUGAUGUGUUGUUAGAUACCGCUCACUGUUUAUUAUGUUAAAUACGUGAUUUAAUAUAAUUGCCAAUGCCGCGAAAACCUACAGGGUCACACACAAAGGACGGAUUGAUGAGAGAUAGAGUAACUAUGGAACACCGUAAGGUACGGUGCACUUAAGUGAAUUGUAGAACAUCGUAAGGUACGGUGUACUUAAGUAGAAUACGAAAUAUGGUAAGGUACCACGCGCUUAAGGAAUUUGGCAUAUUAUAAGAUAUGGGCCAAAUACACUUAAGUGGGCUUUUUAGCUUGAAGCCCAUACAAGUGGUUCUAUAAAUAGAACCCUUGUGCAAA